This 78173-nucleotide long non-coding RNA is filed under the name Marmota monax (woodchuck). Lineage: Eukaryota; Metazoa; Chordata; Mammalia; Rodentia; Sciuridae. The record is from RNAcentral.
AGGAUAUACAAGACAGGAAAACAAAUAGAUUGCAAGCUUUUUGAAUCAAGGUAAGUUAAGGGAGAGUUCAAUCUUGAUAGGAUAGUUCAAUCAUGUUAGAAUAGUGAGGUAUACUAAAAAAUUGUGUGGCAUAGAGUGAACACCACAUCCACAUUGUAAUCAUCAAUUUGUUUUUCAUAGCACAAAAUCUUGCUUGACAUUAAGACUGAAUUAUUACAGCCAUUCACUUCAAAUGAGUCUUUUAUUUUGAAAUACAAAAUAUCUACAUUUAUGGAAGUUUUCCUUUUUUAAAAAAAUUGUAAAUGUACAGCAUGCCUUUAUUUUAUUAGUUUAUUUUUAUGUGGUGCUAAAAAUUGAACCCAGGGCCUCACACAUUCUAGGCAAGUGCUCUGCCACUGAGCUACAGCCCCAGCCCAAAGUUUUCUUUUUUUUUCUCUUUUGGUUACAUGGAUAGAUUUUCUACUUUUGAAAAUUGUUAUGGUUUAGAUAAAGGGUCUCCCCAAAGCUUAUGUGUGAGACAAUACAAGAGGAUUAGAGGUAAAAUGAUUGGGUUGUGAAAGCCUUAAUUUAAUCAGUGAAUUAAUCCCAUGAUAAGGAUUAACUGAGUGGUAACUGAAGCCAGGUAGGGUGUGGCUAGGUGGGUCACAGGGGCCAUGCUUUUAGGUUAUAUAUUUGGUAUCUUGCAAGUGAAGUCUCUCUCUUCUUCUUGGUGCCAUGUUGCCAGCUACAUUCCUCUGCCACACUCUUCUGCCAAGAUGUCUUAUCUCACCUAAUCCCCAAGGAAUGGAGUUAGCCAUGUAAGGACUGAGACCUCUGAAACUGUGAGUCACCAAAUAAACUUUUUCUUCUCUAAUUGUUCUUGUCAGGUUUUUUGGUCACAGCAGCAAAAAUGCUGACUGAACCAGAAUAGCACUCCCUUGUUUAAAACCACAUCUCUCUCCUUUAUACCUCACUUAUACUUGUUGUUAUACACAUUUUAGAAGGAAAGUGUGGUGAAAACUAUGGGAGGGUACUAAAAAUAAUCUCGAACCAGAAUAGCACUCCCUUGUUUAAAACCACAUCUUUCUCCUUUAUACCUCACUUAUACUUGUUGUUAUACACAUUUUAGAAGGAAAGUGUGGUGAAAACUAUGGGAGGGUACUAAAAAUAAUCUCAGAUCGUCUUUUGUUUAUCUUAUUAAUAAUAAGCCAUGGAUUUUAAGAACUUUUGUAUAUAACUUUCAAGUGAAGCUUCAUAUGAAUCUGACAUGUAUAAAACGACUGAUUCUAGUGUUUUCCACACAACCUUCCUACAUGUAGAUAUGUUUCUGUUUCAGAAUUUUUUGUGGGUGAAUACUUUAAUUAGUGAUUUUAUUCUUGGUUUUGGUAAGACUUUCUAUUUUUAAAGUGUAUACAGUGUGGGAAUAAGAUAGUUGAAUUAAAAUUAAAUAGUUUUUAAAUAUGCUUAAUAAGAAAACAUUAACCAAAAAUGUAUUUAAGAUCCCAUAUAAAGGAAGACUUAUUGUAUAAGUAAGAUGCUAGUCACAUUAAAAAGGAAAGGCUUCAGGGAUCCAUAUAAUAUUGACUUAAUGUAUUUUUCCAUGAUUGGUGGUUAACAAAUAAAGCCAUCUUACUUGUGUGCUUACUAUGUGCCUGGACUUGUGCUAAAUAUAUGUAUGUGUUAUAUGGAGUCUAUUUCCAUUUUUCACUUCAUGAUAGGAAAGUGAGGUUUAGUAAACUUAAAUACAUUAACUAUUUUGCAACUAUAUUGAAACAAAUAAACAGUCUCAAAUGGCAAGAUAUAAAUGAUAUUCAUAUUUUUUAAAAUAUGCAUGUUAUUUCUAUUAAAGAAUUAUACUCUCUUACUCCUAAAACUUGAUUGAAGACAUUUGAAUGAGAAUUUAGUAUAUUGAAGCCUCAUAAGAGUAUAAUUGAUAAAUAUGUGACAAUUUUUAUAAUGGAUACCAACAAAUUACAUAAUAUACCCAACUGGUAUGUUAAUGGGAAUUAUGUAUACUGAUUAUGUUGAUGAAAGUUAGUAAAAUGCUGGUGAGCUUUCUGUUUUUUUUUUUCCAAUAAUGACAUGACUGUCAAUAUAACUGUUUAAUUCUUAGGCACAUCAGUUAGGUAUUGCUUGUUUUGUAUUUCAUAGUAGAAUAAUUAAAUGUAUGCCUAUUGUCAUUUAAAUUUAUUUUGUUUUAUUUUCAUAGUCUAUAGACUUACAGCACUAUUGAUAAUAUUUUUAAUAUUAUUUCAUUUUAAGAGAAUGGUAGAUUACUUUAAAAACUCAAUGCCGCAGUCCGGCUGCAGCAAACUAACCGGUGGGUGACGAGCAACUUGUGUACAUUGAUUCAGCAGGAGUGGGAGCCGUUUAUUAUAGGACAGGAGGGGUAUAUAUACAUUCCACACAGCUUAUCUUAAUUAACAUAAACAAGAUACAGCAGUCAACCAAUAAGGAAUCUCCACACUUAAUGGCUCGCGGGCGUUACUUCACAAACCACUCCCUCUGGCAAAAUGCCAGGCGCCAUCUUGAAUUGUUUACGGACUCUAACAACUCAACAAGCAAAAAAUAUCAAUAAGCUAUAGGAGGGUGCCUAUAUUAUUUAGCAAAUACAGGGCUAUUAUGAUUACUUGGGAAAAUCUUGCUUGGGUAAUGAGAAUUUCCAACCAUGGCUUAGGUUUUCAAUAUGAUAUUUAAUAGAACACAAUAUUGCCUCAUUUGUCUUUCUUGGUGGGGGAUAGUUGCUGUUUCUGAGAUUUACAUAAAUGAUAGGCACUUUAAUUCAAGAAAGAAAUAGUAUCUUAAUCUAUCCUCCUUCUGCUUCAAAAUGAAAGAAUUUUGAUUUUAAUUUUAAAUUUGACUUUAAAUAUUUUACUUCUUAGUUGGCUGUCAAUUAUUGCUUUACUUUAUUCAUUUCAUAUGUAAGGAAUAUAGCUUUGCUUUUACAUUUCUUUGUUAUUUUAUUUCCUUUUGUUUCUUAGCAGCAGAAUGAUAAAUGGAUGUUUACUGCACCACAUUGUAUCUGUUAACUUAUCAGCAUUAGCCAUGGAUCCAUUUUCCUUUUCAUCAUGAUAAGCAAUGCUUUGUUUGAUAAGAAAAUAUAUCCCAGAGAAGCAGUGUGAAGUAUUGUGUUUUCUUGUUGAUAUUCUCUGUAGGCAUUGCUUCCAAGGGAAGAAAAUUUGUCUUCUGUUAGCAAAUUGUUAUUCUGCUCAUUACUUGUUCUCAUUAUGUCUUCAUCUUAGCAGUGCACGAUUUCUCUGCACAGUAUGUCUUGCUGUGUUUACGGUGGUUUUAAUAGUGAGAGGCUGGCUUUGGCAUGACAGGUGUAGGUGUCCUGGUAGGUAAAUAAGAAAUCUUCCACAGAACUGAGUGAUGAAUUAGGAAAAAUGACUAUCUGUGCUCAGAUAUGUAGAGAUGGUCGAUUCAUACAUUGUCAUGAUUUAUCUUGUGCUCCUUGAGCACAGUCAGCAUAAGAUGAUCUGGUGAUUGCAUAAGUGAAAUGAAAAACAUGGGGCCUAACUUUAAGUACCUUGCAAUCUAUCUCUAGUCAUAGCUUCUGUAUUUGGAGCUUCUGACUGUGGAAAUGUGGUUAUGUAGUUGCAUAGCUUUGGUAAUUAUUUUAGGUAAUUAUCUCACCUAAGACACAAACAUCUUCACAUACACUCCCAAACUAAAAUAACUAUUGAAUGCUGCACUUAUUACAUAUAUGUAUUUCUGUUCAUCACACAAAAUUAAUAUAUAUUUGACUUGGGUUGUAGCUCAGUGGUAGAGCUCUUACCUAGCAUGUGUGUGGUCCUGAGUUCUAUUCCCCAGCACCAUAUAAAAUAAAUUACAAACAAUAAAAAACAGACUAAUAAAUUGCAUCAUGGCAAAACCCUCACUUUUUUACUUUUCUUGGAUUUUGGUUUUUCUUCAUUUAUGUAGUAUAAUUUGCUUUCAAAUCUUGUCCUAAAAACUGUAUUAGUGAGUCAAUUGCAAAAUUUUUUCCAUAAAAUCCACCUGCUCCUACUCACCUUUUUUUCAGUGUACUUUGAUCACAGAUAUAAUUCCUCCUACACCACUUUAAAUGCACUCUGUUUUACUGAAUAGGAAUUUUUGUUUUAUUUUUUAAGAACAUUCAGGUAUUUUAUGUUCUCAUAACAGGGUUCAUUUUUAUCUUACUUUUCACUUUUUCUUUUUAAGGGGUUGCUCUCUUCCAGACUUAAAAAAAAAUAAGUCCCUAUUCUAUUCAAAUGUGAAUCUAAUUAACUACCAAAUUGACAGGAUGGUUUGAUUGUAGUUUUAUAUUAGGCCAUUAACCAACUAACAGACACUUUGUUUUUGCAGGUUUCAAAGAAAAAGAAAUGUAACCAAAUUUCUUCACAAAGCAAUUAUACUUGUUCCACACAGAACUUACAUAUUAUAAAUAUCCUACAAAAAUUAGACUUUUAACAGUACUGUGACUUGAAAUAGUUUUCUUUUUCUAUGUAUAUAUAGGGGAAAGGCAGAGUGCCAUUUUUUCUGUAAAUGUCUAGGACAGACAAAAUAACCAUUUUUUUUAGAGUUGGAACAAUUUGGGUAGAAAGAAAUAUGAAAGAAAUGUCAUGACAGCACAUCAUUUCCUCUGUGGGAGGAAUUAAUCCUCAUUAAUGAAACUGCAUUCCAAUGUUCUAAGUACUGUGUAUUUGACUGCAUUUGAGAAACAUUUUGUCCCCUUAACAGAAAGCGAUAGAGAGAGUGGGGAUGUGUGGGAGGAGAGAGAGGGAUAGAAGAGAAAUAAUCAUUAGGCUCCUUAAAAGGAUAAGACUAAACUGUACAUCAAUUAUUAUUGCCCAGCAUGAUACUUGUAUUAUAAUCCAGAAUAUAUACCUGUUUAAUAACACAAAUGUUAAAAUCUGAUAGGAAUGUGCAAAAUAACCAAAGUAGAAACUGAAUAUGGAGUUCUAGUCUUCAAUAAUUUUAGGGACUUCAAAUAAAAUAUAUUUUUCCUGUGUUUCUGAAAAUAGGCCCAGAGCAUACAAAAUAUGAACUUGCAUCCAAGAGCUAUUCCUUUUACCUGAAUUCAUGACAUUGAUGUUUUUAAAGUUAAUGCUGAUAUUUUUUUUUCUGCUUCUUACAACAAUCAUGUAAAAUAUGCAACUGAGACAAAGAUCAAGAGAGGGUUAAAUGAGAAUAAUCACCCAGUUUUUUCUCAUUACUGAGAAUUGUCAAAAUGCUGUGAGGGUAUACUUUGUAAUAGAUUGGCAUUUCACAGUUUACUUUGUACACAUCUUAAUCAUUGUGAAUCUAAAAGAGAUAGCUAAUAAAGCAUGGGCUUUUGCAAUGAAUUUUUUUCCCUAGAUGAAAUAAGAUGCAAUCUUUUGUGUGGAAUCUUUCUUUCCAUUGUUCUCACAGGACUAUCUCUCAGGGGGUGUAGUGUUUGUUAGAAAAGAAGGAAGACUUAAUGAAGUUAAAUAAAAAUUAUCUUCACCCAGUUCUACAGUCUAUCUGAACUCAGAAGAUCCCAAAUGGGGCCAAAUUAGCUCAUAUUUCAUGCUGCAGUUCACCUUUAGCCAAAAUAGGUGUAGCCAGCAAAAGGCAUGAAGCACCCCCACAGGAUGGAGUAUCUUAACCCAAAGAGGUUGUCCAGAGCCCAGUGUUUAAAAUUGUCAUUUUGUGAGGUGACCUGGCUGGUUUCAUCCUACUUUAGGUAGGACCAUCCUAGUUACACAUACUUUAGUUGAGCCAUAGUGAGGUUCUGGGUGCAUGAGAUGGAGGCUUCUCUUUGCAAAGUGACAAGAGAGCUAUUGUGAAUAGGAACAUGGACAAGGAAAAAGGCUCAGCAUCUCACUUCAGGGAACAUGUGGACUUUGAGAAUCUAGAAGUGUACGUUUUCAUGAACAACUGGGUCAUGUGUACUUCUGUUUGAAGUUCACAAAAUAAUUUUAGAGAUAAUACCAUGUCUCUCUCUUUUUUUGGGGGGUGGGGGGUAAAAUAUUAUUCAGUCUCUUAUUGUUCUGUGAUUUCUGAAGCCUCUUUCACUAGGUUGGCAUCUGGGGAUAUAGGGUAGAGUUCUUCCUUCCCUUACUCCCUUUUUUUCCCUUUUCUUUUUUCCUUCUGAUCUCUACAUGUACAUUUGACUAAUAUUUUGUGGUCUGGGACUACAUGUCUUGCUCACUGAAACAUUGUAUACUCUGAAGGUCUCUGAUUCUAAAUUUUAAAGGUGGUAAAACUUGUAGUCUGUCUUAUAUUUCCUAGGCAGGGUCUGGAUGGAUGGGGUCUUACACCAUGUUUAAUAUCAUUGAGUGUGCUGAUACAAAUCAAGACCUUAUGAAUCUUAUCACCCAAAUUAAAUAUUCAUUCUCACUUAUGAUCUCAUCAGUAUACAUCAAGCAGCCUCUCUGUUCCAGGCUCUGUGUUCGGUUUUAAGGAAAAUAAGAUGUGAUCUCCACUGUAGAUGACCUCAUAGGAGAGGCCUAUAGGACUGAAUGAUAACAUCUGAGAAGACCUGUAAAUGAGAUGAACAACAGGUAUCUUAGGAAAGCCAGAGACAAGUUAGUCAUUAAGUCUCUCCUAAGGGAGGUGGGAAGGUUUUGGAGGGAAGGUGAUAUUUGAACAGGUCAGGUACUAAAGAAUAGUUAGAAAUUUCAGCUAGAGGCAGAAUAUACACACUGUUGUUACACAAACUAGGAUAUGACCUACCAAACUUAAUUCCUUAUCUACAAAAUUUCUAGGGGAUAUUAGAAUUCAAUGGAGGCUGCACUUAUUAGUUUUAGAAAGGACUGAAAGUAUUGAAAUGAGUAGCAGAGAUUUUUGAAAAUGUAUUUCAUUUGAUAGGUUUCCUGUGUACUUUAGAAAUAUAAUAUAGUACAAAAUUAGUGACCCUAUUUUAAGACCCCCAAAUAAUGAACUGUUUUCUUCUAUUCUUUUAUUGUUUCUUUUUCUUGUGCAAUUAAAAGAUUUAAAAAUUAACAUCUAACCCAGGGAUUCUUAACUAUGACACUGUUAAGUUUUGUGUUAUAAACUUCUUCAAAAAAGAGCUGUUCUGCCAGGCACAGUGGGGCACACUUGUAAUCCCAGCGGUUCCAGAGACUGAGGCAGGGGGAUUGGGAGUUCAAAGCCAGGCUCAGUAAUUUGGUGAGGCCCUAAGCAACCUAAUGAAACCCUGUCUUUCUCUCUCUCUCUCUCUCUCUCUCUCUCUCUCUCUCUCUGUAAUACCUUUUUAUGUUAGUAUUUUAUGUAUGGUAGAACAUUUUAAAGUAGCUCUCUUCUUAACUCAUUAUGUUCCAUUGAGAGAGAGAGAGAGAGAGAGAGAGAGAGAAAGAGAGAGAGAGAGAGAGAGAAGGAGGGAGAGAAGAAAAGGGCUGGGGAUGUGACUCAGUGGUAAAAACACUUCUGUAUUCAAUCACUCUUACCCACCCUCCCCCAAAAGCUAUUCUGCAUAUUAAAGGAUGUGUUUUGCAUGAUCUCUGGAUGUUUCUUACCAAAUACCAAUAGAAUUUCCUAGUUGUGGCAACCAAAUGUUCCUAGAUAUGACCAAGUGACCCCUGGUAGGGUACAGGGGAAUGAACCCAUUUGAAAAUUACUGAUUCAGCUCAGUCUAAUAUUAUUGAAUCCUCUUAGUUUUUUGAGUUUUGUAUCAGAUAUCAUCCUCGAUUUAUUCCUUUCAUUUAGCAUAAUAUUAUUAGUACUAUCAUUAUUUUAUAUCUGGAUAGUCAUUAAUAAUGUAUUCUUCUAAGCAAAAACUAGAGCUAUCCUUGAUCACACUCAGAUUUUUGAGAAUCUAGAAGUGUACGAUUUUGCGGGGGGGGGGCAGUUGACAUGAUGGGGGAUAUUUCAGAGUGAUAUAGAACACAUUUUUGCACCCCAAGAGAAAUAUAUGCAUUAGGUGAUUUACACAGAAUCAUAAGGCAGGUAGGGUCCCAAGGUACAUUGCUAUCCGUGUUUAUCCUGGAUCAUAUCUCUAGUGCAUCUUUCCACAAUACAAUAAAAUACAGCUUGAAGUUCUUUUGUGAUUCCAUAGGUUAUAAUAAAUUUCCCUGGCCGGCCAGAUGUGGGGCGGGUGUUGAAGUACAAUAAGAAAAUGGAUGUUAGGAAGCACAGAUCCUACUUCAAUCUGAACUAGCUGUGAAUGCCUCCCUACUCCCAUCUAAUAGAGGUAGCAAAUCAUGAGAAAAUGGAAAAAAUAGUUAUUGUUCAGAGAAUUCUCUGAGAUGCUUACCAAUUUAAAAGUAGGGGCAGGCAGGCCAGGGUACAAUACUAAGAACAGAAAUAAAACCACAUAUUUACCACUUCAGUGCUACUUCCUGAUAUGAGGAAAAAACAUCUCUUUGCUUACCCUCUGACUCUUGAGGUUUCUUCAUUAAAUUGUCAAAAGUUUCAUUGACCAUCACAGAAAUUGAGUUUCCUCUUUUCUGAGCAAAAGAAAGAACGUUGAAUGAAUGGUAAAUGAACAAUAGUGCUUUAAAGAAAACUAAGUUCAGUGAUCACAUGAAAUUCAGUAUACUCUGAUGUGGAGAGAAUAAUUCUGAAGUUUUUCCUCACUUUUGUAGGUUAGUAUUUUAUGUAUGGUAGAACAUUUUAAAGUAGCUCUCUUCUUAACUCAUUAUGUUCCAUCAUCCUGUAUAUAGGACACCUAUAAAACUUUAAAUUGACCAUUUUGUAGGUGUCCUAUACAAUUGUAUAGAUUUUGAUAGGUAUUUUUGAUUUCCUAUAGAUAAGAUGAUGGGAUAUAACAGGUUAAAGAGAAACAUUUGAAAACUGUGAAAGUUAACUAAUGAAAAUGUACAUUACAAUCUCCAAAGAAUGCUAGUUUGAAAUUAAUCAUAGAAUCUUCUCUUUAGCAUCUAUUAAACAACUUUUUGGUUAGAGAUCUGAUUAGAAUAAACUGCUCAUUUUUUGAAGAGCUUCUAAUGUGAUACAUCAAAAAAUUAAAUGUAUGUAUCUAGUUUAAGUGGGAAGACAAUCACUGGGGAGAGAAAUAAAACACCAAAAUCCCAGCAUUUGAAUUAAUAUGUCAAUAAGACAAAUACUAAGAAAAAGACUUCCAAUUAUUUGAAGUAAAUUUAUUUUCUGCAGUUGUUUGGAGGACAAAAUCUUGUUUUACUUACACAAUGAAGACAUUCUAAACAUAAGAUCCAUCUUUGUACAAAGUCUAAUAGAAUAACUAGGAAAAAAGGGGUGUUAGUCAACAUAUCCAAAUUUUAUUUUUUAUCAAAGUGUUCAUGCACAUAUUUUAAGUGGCUUACAUUGUGUAGUGUUUUAAGAUUUACGAGGAUAAGUCUCUUUUUCUAUUUUCCUUUCUUGUGUUCCAGUUUCCAGAAAAAAUUAAACAUCUGCAAGCCGGGCUGUAAUCCCAGCUGCUCAGGAAGUUGAGGCAAGAGUAUUGCAAGUUCAAGGCCAGCCGGGGCAACCUGGUGAGGCGCUGUCUCAAAAUAAAAUUUAAAAAGGCAGGGGUGUAGUUCAGUGCAAUAGUAUUUGUUUAGUUUCCAUGAGGACCUGGGGUUAAUCCUGGUACUGCAAAACCAAAACAAAACACAUGUAAUUCAUAUCUAUUUCUUCUUGAAUUUAACUCUGUAUUUUUAUAUGUCACGAGCCAUUCAUGAGCUGUGUGUGUGCUAUGCACAUUUGAGGGGACUGGUCUGGUGUUGUAAACUGAUUGGUGAUCAGUUUACAACAGUUUACAAUUUGGUGAUGCAAAUGUGCCUUUCCUCUCACUCUGCCUGUGAUCCCACACAACACCUGAAAUGGGUGUGACUUGCCAAGUUGUCAAUCAAUCUUCUGACCACAAAAAACACAAGGCAAGUCUCACCUUCAAAUCCCUGCCUUAUUUGGUGAAGAGCAUUCCAUUGAACCUCCCUUGUAUGUGUCCCCCUAUAAAAUAUAAAGAAUCUGGGUGCAAGCUCUCUUUCCAGUGCUGCCUAGCGUAGAGCUGACCCUUGGGAUCACUGAGCAGUCCCGCCCUCUACCUUAGAAACUCAUGUUCCUGUGUUGCUUGGUUUCUUUGCUGUUUUCUCAGUUAUUGCUGCAGCCAGCUUCUUUGAACCCAGCUAAUCCCGCCGGCCUGGCCUGCUGGUGAGACACACACACACACACACACACACAUUGCAGUAAUGUGCAGUAAUGUUAGUAUUUCUUCAUUUAUAGAUUUUUAUAAUAAUUUAUUGAUCUCUUGCUGUGAUAGAUGAGUGUGCCAGAUCUCAUGUGACACCCAAUUAGAUACCCAAUUAGCUCAAUUGAAUCAAGGUAGGUAGAUGUCUAAUGAAGCUUCUUUAAAAAGAUGUUGAGUGGAUUGGCAAGAAUGCUUGCAUUUUCCUCUAAAUCCAUUCUUCUUUAGCAAAGACAGAAUGACUGUAAUUAUAGCAUGGAUUUUUAAUCAUGAGAUGGCAACAAGGAAUGGAGAGUUGGUUAGCAAAACAAUGUUUAAUAAUAGGCCUCAAAGAUAUUCUCAUUCUAAUUCCUUGAACCUUUGAACAUGUUGCCUUAUGUGGCAAAAAGAAUUUUGCAGUUGUGAUUAAAUUUAUGGGUCUUGCAUUGGCUUUUUGUGGCUUACUCAGGUGAACCUAAACUGAACACACAUUUUUUAAAAAUAGAGAACAUUUCCCAACAAUUGUCAGAAAGGACAUGAUGACAUAAGAAAGAUCAGAGAGAAACUUCCUUUUCAAAAACAACAACAAGCUUUAUUUUAGAAGACUUUUUUAUUUUGUGCAAGCUGCAAGCAGGUUUGGCUUAUUUAUUUUUUUAAUCAUAACUAUAGUUCUAGAGACAUAGUGGUCUUAGUAUUCAAAAAGCAUAUUUAAAAAACAGUAAAAAAAAAUCACACCAAGGAGAAACAACUUUUAGUUGGUUUGGAGUGGAUAACCAUUGAUUCCAGCGGUUAUCUGAAACAGGUCCACCACUUUCCUAGAAAUCAAAUACAAUGGAUUUGUCCACAGAAGGAAACUAGUUUUAAUGAGAAAGCUUCUUGUGAUGGUUAAUUUUCUCUGUCAAUUAGACUUAGCCAUGGGUGCCCAGGUAUUUAAUCAAACAUUAUCAUUACUGUGAAGGUGUUUUGGGAUAAGUUUUAACUCAUCCUAAACUUGUGGAUUAUGUAAAGCAGAUUGCCUUUCCUAAUUUAAGUUGAAAAUCUUUAUAGAACAAAACAGCUGACUAUCCCCUGAAUAUGAGGGAAUUCCUCUUGCCUGACUGCUUUUGAUCUGGGACAUAAGCGUUUCUCCUUUUUCUCACUUGAGAUAAGUCCCAGAGCUCUUUCUAGAUUUCAAGUAGUCUGGCCUUCAGACUGUUACUCAAUGUUGGCCCAUUUGGUUCUUAGGCCUUCAGACUUGGUCUGGAAUUUGCAUCAUUAGUUCUGUGUGUCUCUAACUUGGUGACUACCAAAUUGGAAAAUUCAGUCUCAUACAAAAAUAUGAACCAAUUCCAUAUAUGAAAACCAAUCUCUCUCUCUCUCUCUCUCCCUCUCUCUCUCUCUCUCUCUCUCUCUCUCUCUCCCCCCUUCUCUUCCUCUCCAUCUAAUUGGUUUUGUCUUUCUGGAAAACAAUUCUUUAUUCACUCCUUAGAAUCAUAAUGCUGUAAUAUCCCAGGUAGUGGAGGAUAUAACAUAGCACUAAUUUCACAGGGAAUGUUCAGGAUUGUGAGGUCAGCAGAUGUUAGCAUGUAGUACAGAAAGGAACAGCAUUGAAUGAAAGUGGGGAUAGAUAUGGAGAGAAAGGUGUUCCCUCACCCCAGGUCCCACUCAGCCCUUUAAAUUUCUAAAAUUCAAAGCUGUUCUGCUCCUUUUAGGAAGAACAUACUAAACAAUUAAACAAAAUUAACUCAGUAUUUUUUCCAAGAUAUGCUCUGUUCAAAAAGAAAGAGGAACCUACUCACAGUUUCCCUGAGCCAUUUCUCCUCCCAUCCAUUUCUGUUCUUGUAAGACAUCAUCCAGAUUAUGAUCUAUCAUAGCCCCAGCUCUGUCCCCCAUAUGGCAGUGAGAUCUAUAAGAAUAUACCUACAGCACUCUUCAAAGCUAAUGGAAACCAUGCACUCUUGUACUCUAAGAUAACUGGAAAGAAAAUUCCACCAAAAAUAUUCCAUUAAGCCACACAGGAUUGACACCAUUUUUAAAAUAAUACAUUAUCUCAUGUUGGGGAGUUUGUUCCAGGUUCUUUGUUUCAUCAUAGUUUUCCCCUAAAAUGCAAAUAAUUGUGAAACUUCAGAGAGUGACUUGGCAUCUAUGUAUAUAGGAAAUUGAUAUAAAAUUCCAGGACAUCUCUUUGUUAAUAAUUAGAAGAGUAGAGAUUACCAGUGGAAUGGUAGAAUACCCUUUUGGUAUUCCAGUAAUUUGUUAUGCUUGCUCUAAAGUUGAAAGAAGUGACCACAAUUCUGGGAGCGUUAGUGGUCUCAAGAAUCUGAGAAAGGUAAGGAAAGAAAUUCUCUCUUAAUGCCUCAACAAGGAAUGCAUUCCCACUGACAACUUAUUUUAGUACAGCUAAACUCAUGUUGGAUGUCUAACUUAUAGAAUUAUAAAAUUCUAAACUUGUUUUUUAGGCUAUUCAGUUAGUGGUAAUUUAUUAUAAUAUCAACAUAAGAUACAGAAGUCAAUUUUCAGAAUACUAGAGAAGAAAUACAGGAAAAACCUGGGACACUAAUUACCUCAUGAAGCAGUGCUCUGAACAUUGUGUGUGUGUGUGUGUGUGUGUGUGUGUGUGAUGGGGGGAGGGAAUAGAGAGAAGGGGAAGGAAGAAAGAGAGAAAGAACAAAUCUCUAUCUUAUCUAUGUUACUGUAUCCCUACUUGUAUUUCUCUUAAGAUGAACACCUCACAAAUACAAUGAGGAUGAUUUGUUAUUUCAAAAUUUUUAUUCUUAUAAAAUUGUCUUACAUUGCUGAUGUCUACCAAUAUCUUUGAAGAUCAAGUUGAUAGAUUUCAUUUCAUUUCUCUAUGUAUUUUAAAUUUUGAUUUGCAAGUUUUCUUGGAAUGAAGUGCAGUUUUAACUUUUGAUCGUAAAUUUGCAAUUCCAUAUUAGCUAUAUUUUAUGAUCUAGCAAGAUUUCUAGAUAAGUCAUGUAGUUUUCCUUUCUACUAAUGUUUAUUGAUUGUAGUGUUUAAAUUGGCUAAGUGGGUAGAAAUGCAUCAACAAUUUAGUUAUCUUUAAACAUCAUAACAUAUGCAUUCUUAAUCACAUGAUUUAUUUUAGGAAUCUAUUCAAGAAUUUAGAAAGGAUUGUGUAAACAGAUUUAAACAUCAUAUAGGUAAAAUCUACUUCUUUUGGGAUGAGAAUGAGUAUAGUCUUACUAAGUUCACCCUCUGACUGUGGCCAGAUGAGUAAGAUGAUUGAUAACAAGAUCCUUAAUAUUCAGCUUUCCCCAUAGUACAACCUGAUGUUUUGUAAGUAUUUUUAAACGACAUAAAGGAUUCAGAUGAAUAAGUGAAAAAAGUAGAGGCUAGAUACCAGGGAGAAAUCAAAGUAACGAGAGAGGAAGCAUUCCUAUUUUUUUGAGUUAGAAGUAUAUAAUAAAAGAAAUAUAAAAUUACCUGGAGAUCUACUGCUAACAGUCCAACUGCUUUGAUUUUCAAAUAUCUACUUCUUAUGUUUUUCAAAUUUCUGUUUUGUCUCAUACCAUUAUUUAAAUAUGGAAUGUCUGAAUAGAAGUUUUGUUUUGUUUGGCUACUUAAAUCUAACUGAAAGUCCAAGUCAUAUUCUAUAUCACUCAUAGUAUGUCUAUGUUUUACUCAUUCCUUCAGUAGAUUGGGAACUGGUUUUGUACCACAGCAUACAGAAAAGUGUCUAUACAUAGUGGCUGCUCCAUUAGCCCUUAUGUUGAAAUGAACAUCAUGAUUAAGUCCAUGAUAAAUUCUGAAUAAUUUUAAGUUGUAAGUCCACCAUUUUUUUUUCAUAUCAUUUCUGGGAACUUUUACAUUUUUAUUUUGUCAUUGCAGUAUAAACCUUGACAGAAGGGAAAUUUCUCACAUAUCGGCAGUAUUAUUUUUGUUCUUGUUUCUCUUUCAGCAUUUGUCACAAUGUCUUAUGCAUAUAAAAAUCAAUACAUAGCUGUUGAUUACAAAAACUGUAGAGACUCAUAGGGUAAAGGAUAAGAGAAAUACAUAUUAUUGAUAAAGUAGAAGGAGAAAAAAAUAUUUAGUUUCUUGGACACACUUACUAGAAAAUAAACAUUAUGGUUUAAAUAUAGGUAUUGAAUCCCCAUUGUCCAUGUGUUAAAGGUGCUGUGAGGCGGUUUUACCUCCUCAUGAUAAUUAUUAGUGUGCUCCCAAAGGGGAUGGUGGGACCCCAGUCCAUUCUCUCUUCCUUCCUGCCUUGUGGUGUAAGUGAUUUACUCCACCAUGUGCUCCUGCUAUGAUGUGCCACCCUUGACAGAGAACCAGUCAGAGCUACCUGAUCUUGGACUGUAAACUCCUGGCCCUUCAUGGCUUCAUUACCCACAUAAACCUUUUAAUUUUAUAAGUCAAUUGUCAUGAAUAUUGAGUUAUAAUAAUGAAAAAAAUGAUAUAAUAACAAAUGUAAACUAAAAAUAUUUAAUGCUUUUAUGGCCAAACACUUUAGGACUUUUAAUAGGCCAGGGUUUAUGGACAGAACCUCAAAAGCCAAAGGAACAAAAGUAAAAAUAGACCAAUGGCAUUACAUCAAACUAAAAAGCAAUAAAAAAAAAGGAAACAAUCAACAGAGUGAAAAAGAAGGGGUGGGAGGGAAAGAGAGGGGGUAGGGAGUUAGCAAGGAUGGUGGAAUGUGAUAGAUAUCAUUAUCCAAAGUACAUGUAUGAAGACAUGAAUUGCGGUCAAAAUACUUUAUAUACAACCAGAGAUAUGAAAAAUUGUGCUGUAAAUGUGUAAUAAGAAUUGUAACGCAUUCUGCUGUCAUUUAGUUUUUAAAGAAUCAAUCAAUCAAUAAAGUUAUUGGCAAAAAACAGAAUAUGUAGAAUGAGAGAAAUAUUUGCAAACUAUAUAUUUGACAGGGAACUAGGAACCAAUAUCCAAAAUACAUAAGGCCCUUCAAAAACUCAAUAGCAAAAAACCAGUUGCCCAAUUAAAAAAUGUGUAGUAGACAUAACCAGAUGUUCCUCAAAAGAAGACAUACAAAUGGCUUAUGAAAAAUGUUCAACAUUGCUGAUAAUCAGGAAAAUGCAAAUCAAAAACACAGUGAGAAUGGCUCACUCCAAUAAAAAUGGCUAUAUUUAUAAAGAACCAAGGAAGAGCAAGUGCAGAUGAAGGUGUGGAGAAAAGGAAACACUUUCACAUGUUGGUAGGGAUAUAUGUUAUUGCCGCAGUCCAGCUGCAGCAAAAUAACCGGGGGGUGACAAAUAACUUGUGUAGAUCGAUAUAGCAGGAGUAGGAGCCAUUUAUUGUAGGACAGGAGCAGUAUAUAUACAUUCCACACAGCUUAUCUUAAUUAACAUAAACUCGAUACAGCAGUCAACCAAUAAGGAAUCUCCACACUUAAUUAAUGGCUCGCUGGAGUUACUUCACAAACCACUCCCUCUGGCAAAAUGCCAGGCACCAUCCAGACUUGUUUACAGACUCUAACAUUUCCCCCUUUUGUUUAAUUUAAAUAAUGAUGAUAGUGGUUUUUACACAAACACCAUAAAUAAUCUGCUACAAGCAGAAGGGGAGGAUACAAAAUGCCGCAAUACCAAGCCAAUUGAUGGCUCCAUGAAAGAAGCCCUUGGAAAAAUUAUACCAGCAAUGACACCGUAAGCAAAGAUACCGAGUUACAAUUUGCUGUAGAUUACAGUUUGUUGUCUCAGUCCAGGUAAAGAAGUGUCUCAAUAUAUUAACUCACAGUCCAGGUAAAUCACAGUCCAGGUAAGUUCACAGUCCAGGUAAGUUCUGCAGGCAGCUAGCUUGAUCCAAAGUCUCGUCCGGUUCUCAGCAGCACUGGAAAUUCUUCCAUCCUCGUCUUCACCGGCACUGGGAUGAAGGCAGGAACUCCGGAUAGCUAAAGAAAAUCCUGUAGUAUUCCAGCAGGCACUAAGAAAACAAUCUUCUGAACAAUUUAGUACAUUAUCUCAAGGUUUUUUACAUUUUAAAUAAGCCUUAAUAGUGCUCAUUACUCAUUAGCUUCCAGGUGUGGGAGAACCAUUGCAGUUACUGGCCUUGGAAAUGAUCAAACUUCAGGGACACGGGCCCAUCUUCCACUUACAGUGUCCCAGGUAGCCCCAGAUGGCCCCGGGGAGAGUCCGGGGAGUCUGGACUCAAACUGCCACUGGGCACAGGGAGCAAGAGCCUGCGAGACUGUGCCUCCGGGUCAGGUUUGGAUUUGGGCUCUCGCAGUGGCAUCCUGCUCCCCAGGCAGGGGGUGGGGAAGAGCCGGCUGCCGCAGCUUGGAAAGUCCUUGCUGUGCCAUGACCCUCUCGCGCACACACGUGGCAGCCGCGAUUCACGCACCCUCCGGUAAUGAAAAGUAUUCAGUAAUAGCCUUUUUCUGCAACUUUUUUCCUGAUAAUCCUUCUUCUUCUGAACUUUCUUUUUCUUUCUGACUAGAGUUCCUGGGCUCUUAUCAAUACAUGCCCUAAUUGCCCUUGGUUCCAUUGGGGUGCCUUCUUCCCUUAGUAAUUUACUUAACACCCCUUCCAUAUUUUUAUCACAAAGAUAAUACAACAUUUCAAGACAAAACAAGAUACAAACAUACUGUAUCAAUCUUUUCCAUUUUCUCAAAAUGGCCAUUUUUCCUCUCGCCCUAUCUGCCUAAGGACGAGCAGAUUUUCUCCCGUCCUAUCUAGGGACGGGCAGCUUUUUUUUUCAUCACUUACCCCCUAGUGUCCCGGGAUCCCCGUACGGGCCACCAUCUGCCGCAUCUGCCGCAGUCCGGCUGCAGCAAAAUAACCUGGGGGGGGGGGUGCGAAUAACUUGUGCAGAUUGAUACAGCAGGAGUAGGAGCCGUUUAUUGUAGGACAGGAGCGGUAUAUAUACAUUCCACACAGCUUAUCUUAAUUAACAUAAAGUAGAUACAGCAGUCAACCAAUAAGGAAUCUCCACACUUAAUGGCUUGCUGGCGUUACUUCACAAAUCACUCCCUCUGGCAAAAUGCCAGGCGCCAUCCAGACUUGUUUACAGACUCUAACAUUUGACAGGUGCCAUCCUGACUUGUUUACAGACUCUAACAUGUUAUUAUAGCCAUUAUGGAAAAUAGUAUGGCCUUGAAAAAUUAAAAUUGGUACUACAUAUGGUCCAGCGAUCCCACUGAUAUUACACAUCCCAAAGAAAUGAUAUCAGCACAUUGAAGAGACAUCUGCACUCUCCUGUUCAUUGCAAUACUAUUCACAAUAUCCAAGAAAUGAAAACAACCUGCAUACCCAACUGGUGAAGAGAUAAAGAAAAUGGGCUGUAUAUACACAAUGGAAUACUAUUCAUCCAUUACAACUAUGAAAUCCUGUAAUUUGAGACAAUAUGGAUGGAAAAGGAGAUCACUAUAAGUCAAAUAAAGUAAUCAAUGUACAGAAAGAUAAGUACAAUAUGAUCUCACUAAUAUGUGGAAUAUAAAACUUUGAUCCUAUAAAAGUUGAGAAUAGAAUGGUGGAUACCAGAACCUGGUGAAAAUGGCAGGAUCGGGAAUGUAGAAAGUUUCAUCAAAUGGUACCAACUGGCAGUUAGAUAGGAGUGAGAAGUUCUGGUGUAUAUUGCACAGUAGAGUUACUAUAUAUAGCAAUGAUGUACUACACAUUUCAAAAAGGUAUAAAAAAGAUUUUGGACAUUUUCACAAUAAAGAGAGGAUAAAUGUUUGAUAUGUUUACCCUGAUCUAAACUUUAUGCUAUGUAUACACAUAGUGAAACAUCAAAUGCUAUCCCAUAAAUAUAAACAAUGCUUAAUGCAUUAGUUAAAAAUAAAUUUUAAAAAUAUGUAAAUGCUUUUGUGAUUUAUAAAAUACUUGUGAUAUGUUUGUCUACUUUGUGUGACAGCUGUUAUUAGCUAAAUUAUGUGCCCAAGAAAAUAGAAGGUUAAUGAGUCUGUUAAAAAAAAAAAAAACACUUUGGCAUUAAAUGACAGUGUUAUAAUUAUUAAUUUUAUUUAAUUAUUUUAUAAUUAUUAAUUAAUGUUCUUAUUACUGUUAUAACUCUUACUUUGCUGUAAACUGUAUAUUUGACAAAGAACUAGGAACUGUGCUGGAGAUCAAAAUGGUGGUCUUAUGCAUGUUAAUAAACCUAGCAAUAUCCUCAGUCCUGUUAUGAUUACUUGAUGUUGGUGGUCAAGGUGGAUAUGACUGUCAAAUAUUUUCACAAGGGCAAUUACAUUAGAGAAUAUCACAUCUAUAUAAUUGUCCAGUGAGCUUGAUAGAUGUAACUGGUUUGGAUAUAUUUUCCUACGAUGGUACCAUUAAUUUCAGAUUCUGGGGAAAGGGCCUUGGGCAAGAAAGCAUUUUUAUUCAGAACAAUUUUGUUUAGUAUAAUGCAUAAUACAUAAGUCAUAAUGGAGCCAUGCAUUGAUAUAGGAAUCAGAAAUAGUUGCUUGCUAAUUUAAAAAAUUCAAUAGUGAAGUAAAAAGACUAUUUAAUUAUCAUAGGAAAAUAAUUAUCACUAAUUAAAUAGACUUCACUUCCAAAAUAGAUGUCUAGGAUAAUCAUAUAUAAAGGAUAGAUUUAAAAUACUCAAUUGAAGUUUAAAUGUCAUAAGGAGAUAACUAUUUGAUGAGUUCCUAGGGUGAAAAAAAUUAUAGAGGAAAUCUUUACACUAUAACUUAUCUGAUUAUGAAUAUAUUUUUUGUUACCACAUUAGCUUAAAGUGAUUGUACUCUCACAAAAAUCUUUUCAUUUUCUUUAACUUGAAGCACAUAAAGGAUAGGAGGUUUCAUGCAUGGGAAUUCAUUGCAAAUUUUGACUGGGAAUUUCACUUAAACUCUAGGACAUUCUUUUUGAGGUUUUAAGAUGUGUGAUUUAAAGGAAAACAUGAUGCAAAUUAGGCUUUCGAAUGGCCUGGUUUAUUUAAAAAGAAGUGUACUUCAUGAAUUUUUUUGUUUCAUCUAAAAUACCUUAAAACUGGAUGUAAGGAUAGAAAAAUUAGUGUCUGUUUUAUUUUCAUUUUUAAGUCCUGGAAAACAGAUUGAAAUUAAACAAUAGAAUGAACAACAGUGUAACAAGUAUCACUCCUUCCUAGAUUUACUGUUACCAAAAAACAUUUAUUGGCAUUGAUCCCUUUAUUUCUAGUUGCCAAUAAAAUAUUAUGUUUGCUUUUGAUAAAUGUAAUCAUUUGUCUCAAAAUUCCAAGACAAUUCAGGAAGACUUUGUAUUUUAGUCAACAUUAAAUUAUAGUUUUUAUAAUUACAUAUUAACUACUAAAUGCAUAUGAAGCACACUGCUAAGAUAUUUGCAUGUGUAUUACUUCACUCAAUGCAGGCAAUGGCUACAUGAGGUUAUUAUUAUUUCAUCCAGAAAAGGAUGGUAAUAGGUUUAACGAUGUUAAGUAUGGUCCAGAGUCAAAUCCUGGCAAUGUGAUUUGAGAAGCCACACUCCUAGAUACCUUCAAAGAUGACUGUGUUUUAACAUUAAAAAGAGAUUUUAAAAAUUGAAGUGGACAUAAAGAUAGAGUUGAGAGUAAUAACCUGCCAUCACAACAUAUUUCUAACAGAACAUAGUAAAAUCUUCUUUUUUAGUUUAAAAAAAAUUGUUCCAAUUAUUUAUACAUUACAGUAGAAUGCAUUUUGUUUCACUGUACAUAAAUGGAGCACAGCUUUUCAUUUCUCUGGUAGUAUAUGAUGUAGAGUUGUACCAUAUGUGCACUCAUAUAUAUACCUAGCUUAAUGAUGUCAGUCUCAUUUCACCAUCUUUCCUAUGCCCAUGUCCCCACUCCUUCCCUCCUUCCCCUUUACCCAAAGUUCCUCCAUUCAUUCCAGGCUCCCCCCACCCCAUUAUAGAUUAGCAUCCACUUAUGAGGGAGAACAUUCAGCCCUUGUUGUUUUGGGAUUGGCUUACUUCACUUAGCAUGAUAUUCUCCAACUCCAUCCAUUUACCUGCAAAUGCCAUAUUUUUAUUCUCUUUUAAGGGUGAGUAAUAUUUCGUUGUGUAUAAACCACAGUGUCUUUAUCCAAUUAUCUACCGAAGGACAUUUAGGUUGCUUCCACAGUUUAGCUAUUGUAAAUUGAGCUGCUAUAAACAUUGAUGUGACUAUGUUACUAUAGUAUGCUGAUUUUAAGUCCUUUUAGUAUAGACUGAGGAGUGAGAUAGCUGGGUCAAAUGUUGGUUCCAUUCCAAGUUAUUAAAGAAAUCUCCAUACUGAUUUCCAGACUGGUUGCACCAAUUUGCAGUGCCACAAGAAAUGUAUAAGUGUUUCCUUUCCCCCACAUCCUCGCGAACAAUUAUUGUUGCUUGUAUUGUUGAUAAUUGCCAUUCUGACUAGAGUGACAUGGAAUCUUAGAAUAGUUUUGAUUUGUAUUUCUCUAAUUACUAGUGAUGGUGAACACUUUUUUCAUAUAUUUGUUGACUGUAUAUCUUCUUCUGUGAAGUAUCUGUUCAUUUCCUUAGCCCAUUUAUUGAUUGGAUUAUUUAUUCUUUUAGUGUUGAAUUUUUUUGAGUUCUUUAUAUAUCCUGGAAAUUUGUGCUCUAUCUAAUGUUCUUUUAGUAAAGAUAUUCUCCCACUCUGUGAGUUCUCUCUUCACAUUGUUGAUUGUUUCCUUUGCUGAGAAGAAGCUUUUUAGUUUGGAUCCAUACCAUUUAUUAAUUUUUGAUUUUAUUUCUUGCACUUUAAAAGUCUUUUUUAAGGAAGUCAGGACCAAAUCUGACAUGAUAAAGAUUUGGGCCUACUUUCUCUUCUAUUAGGCACAGGGUCUCUGAUCUAAUUCCUAGGUUCUUGAUUCACUUCGAGUUGAGUUUUGUGCGAGGUGAGAGAUAGUGGUUUAAUUUCAGUUUGCGGCAUAUGGAUUUCCAGUUUUCCUAGCAUCAUUUGUUGAAGAGGCUAUCUUUUUGCCAAUGUAUGUUUUGGGUGCCUUUGUCAAGUAUGAGAUAACUAACUGUAUUUAUGUGCAUUUGUUUCUGAGGACACAGUGAAAUCUUCAAAGUGUUACCUUAUACUUUACCUUUCUACCUAUCUCUCUGUUUUACCCUGAACCUUAAAUAUAGCUGAGUGGAUUGAAGGAUGCUAGGACAUAUAAUGUGCAGGGGUUCUUCAAGUCAUGAAAAAAUAUUUAAAAUGUAAAAAGGAUUAUGAAUAUAACAUUUUAUUUAUAAUAUAUUAUUUAAGAGGAUUAAGAGCCCUACAUGAAAAUUUGCAUAUACAAUUUUCUUAGAAAUUAUUUUUUUUCAAAUGAAAAGUAAUUAUGGAUAAUGUUAUCUAUUUUUACAUUCAUUAAAAUCAUGCAUUCAGGAAUCCAGUAGCAUAGUUUGUAAUACCAUAAAAUUAAAAUUAAAAUAUAAUGAAUUUAUAAAUGUUAAAAUCAAAAUCCAUGGAUAUUGUGUAUGUGUUUGUGAUUGUAGUCUAUGAUUUUCCUGACCUCACCAACUUUUGGUUAAAAAUAUGUUCAUAUUAAUAUUUCACUGAUACACAUUUUUGCCUUUUAUUCAAAAUUCAAACUAUUGGUAGGCUACACUGAAUGUUUUAUUUUAAUCUCUCAUAAAUUUGUGAUAAGGUUAUUUUCUAUGGUAUUCUGCAUGUCUCUCACCAUCUUGGUGUGCUAACCACUAAGUUACUUUAGUUGCUUGUACAUGAGUUGCUACAGCUACCAAGGUCUAUUGGAAUCAUCCUGAUGGCUGUGUGAACAUGCCAGGUGUCAUAUUUCCAGAGAUUCUGGUCUGGUAUGCUCUAUAUUUUUGAAGUUAAAAGAGCCUCAAGAUUAUGUUAUCAAGAAUAGGGAAAAUGACCCUUUGCCAUGUUUUAUAUUACACUUUAUUGCCUAUGUACCAAACAGGUGUACAUUAUAGAACUAAGUUUCAGAAAAUUAUACACAAAAUCAGUUUUUAUAACUUUAUCCUGAAAUAUUUCCUUUUUCUGUUUUUGGUCAUGUGUUUAUAUGGUUAUAGGCCUUGGAAAUUUUGUCUUCAACUCACUUUGCUUUGCUCUUUCGAGUUCCUCUCUGACAAAAUACAUCAAAAGCCCUCAUUUUAAAAGACCAAAGUAAAUCAGUUCUCUAUAGGAUUAGCUAUUGUGGUGGUUAAUUUGAUGUCAGAUUGGCUGGACUGCACUGACUAGAUAUGUAGUAGUAGAAAAUCCUUCCAGCAGAUAAUAUGCAGAUUUGAACUGAAACAUUGUCUUGUUCCUGAGUCUUCAUCUUGAUAGCAUGGAGAUUUGGGAAUUGCCAGCACCAUAAUCUCACAAGCCAGUUCUCAUUUUUUUUUUCUCUCUCCCUCUCUCUCUUUAACACACACACACACACACACACACACAUCCUAUAGAUUUCAUUUCUCUGGAGAAUCUUGUGAAUUAUAAUUGCCAUGUUCAAAUUUGGAUUACUGUCUUAAAUUUCAAGUUAAUAAUUUUGUAAAUUUGUAUAUGCAUAUUUUGAAGAUUUUUUAUAUUGCAAAAAUAUAUUCCAUGUAGGAAUAUUUAACUCUAUGAAUCAUUUUAAAGGAAUAUCUGUGUAAUUACAAAUGAGAAUAAACUGCUGAAGAAUGCCAGCAUGAUCCAUCUUCCUUUCUUGCCACUCUUCAUAAAUAACUACCAUCUAAAGACUUGCUUGAAUUGCUUAUCAAGAUUCCCAUACAAUUAGACUCAUAUUUUAUAUAUUGUUUUGUGCUUGGCUUCUUUUGCUUGGUAUUUGUGCUUAAUGUGUGUGAAUUUCUAUUGGGCAUAUAUGUAGAAGUACAAUUGGUAGAGUACAUAUUUAUUAAAAUUUGGUAGAUAAUGCUGAACUUUUUUUCCCCAAGUGCUUAUAAUAAUUGAUACUCCCUCCAUUAUUAUAUGAUGUGAUAUCAAGUAGAUUGCAGACUUUCUAAAUUAUAGUGCAUUAUGAUUUGGAUGUGAAUGGUCCCCCGAGACUCCUGUGUUGAAGACUUGGUUCCCAAAUGCAUCAAUGUUCAGAGGUGGAGCUUUGGGGAAGUGAUUGUUAUCAUGAGCACUCUGACCUCAUCCGUUGAUGAAUCCAUUGAUAGCUAAACUAAUUACGGGGAGGUGGUAGAAACUGUAGGCAGUGGACCAGGUUGAAGGAAGUAGGUCACAGAGGGUGUGGCCUUGGAGGGACAGGGACACUUUCCUGUCCCUGUCCCUGUCCCCCUUUUUUUCCUUUCUCUGUGUCUCUCUCUGAUUUGCAUCCAUCAUGAGGUGAGCUACUUUCUCUCCAGCAAUGAUAUUUUGCCUCUCCUGGAACCCAAAGCAAUGGAGCUGGCUGACCACAGACUGAAAUCUCUGAAAUCAUGAACCAAAAUAAAUCUUCUUUUAAGUUAUUUAUGUCAGGUAUUUUGAUUAUAGCAACAAAAACUGACUAUCACAUAGUAAUUUUUUAUCCUGUAUAUCUUGUGCAGUGCUAUUUCAUUCCAGUUUCAGCUAACAUUUCCCUGAUAAUAAUGAUUUUGAACACCUAUUUUUUAUACACAUUGGCCAUCUGAAUUUAUUGUUUUUUGAAGCUCUUAGGUAAGACUCUUCCUAUAGUUUUAUAAAGUGGGUUAUUUGACUGUAAAAAGCAAUUUGCAAGAACUCUUUACAUGCCCUGUGUAAGACCAUUUUUUCCUAUAUGUCUUGCAAAUAUCUUCCCUAAUCUAUGGAUUGUUUUUUCAGUGUGUUAAUGUUGUCUUUUGAUGAAAAGAUACUCUUAGUUUUAAGUAGAGUUUGUAUUACAAGCCUUUACGUUUUCUGUUAAUUUCUUUAGUAUCUGGUUAAAUGCUAAUUAUUUAUAUUUUGCACCAUGAAGUCACAAACAUAAUCUCUCUGAAUAUUUUGUAGAAGAUUAUUUGAUCACUUUCUGUGUCUAAAUCUACAAUGAAUUUAGGAUUCAUUUUAUGUUUUAUUAUAAUUGGGAUCUGGCAAAACUAUUUAACGUAACAUAACUUAAUGGAAAUUCAUGUUCUACAUUGUGGUAAAAUGAGCAGUCAUAUAGAUAAAUAUCCACAUGUUUCCGUUUGUUUUUUACCUCUCUUGUUUCAUUGGUUUAUAUUUGUCCUUGCUCAUCAAAAUGGUCUUUGCUACUCCUAGUGCUUUAUAUUUCCACAUAUGUCUUAGAAUUAGCUUAUCAAGAAUCACAAAGAGAAAAAAAAACUGCAGUCAGAAUAUUUGUAAGAAAGACAUACACAUAUAUAACAUCAAUUUGGGUAAACUGACAACAUUCUGAUGUUGAAUUUUCAAUUCCAUGAACAUGUCAUAUCUUAAUUAUAUGGUUUUCAUUAAUAUUCUUAAUAAUCUUUCUUAUAACCCUAGAUAUAUCACACUUUUUGUUUGCUUUAGUCUUAAGUAUCUAAUUUUUAUAUUAGUAUAAAUAACAUAUCUUUUAAACCAUUUGUUCCAAGCUGGGAUGGGGAUACAACUGAGUGUAGAGUGCUUUCUUAGCAUGCAUAAGGCCUUGGGCUCAGUCUGUAGCACUGCAAAGAAAUAAAACUAUUUGUUCAAAAUCUUAUUGCUCAAAUAAAAUUACAAUGGAUUUUUAUAUAUCAACAUUAUAUUUGGCAUUGUCCCUAAAUAUACUUAAUAAUUCUCAAAGUUUUUUUUAGUUUUACUAUUUAUGGAUUGCCAAAGCACGUAAUCACAUCAUUCAUUGCUGACAACUUUAUCAAUUUUGAAUGGCCUUUAUAAUUUUGUAUGUCCCAAGAUUGAACCAAGGAUUGUGCAUGCUAAGCACUUGCUGUACAACUUCCUUGUUCUGAAUCUGAUGUUCUGGGAAAGAAGUUCCUACCAUUACAUUGUAGGUUUGCUAAAGGAUUUUUGAAUGUAGUUAAUAUGAAAUUAAGGUAGUUCCAUUCUAUACUUCACUUACUAUUUUAAUAAUUAAUUAAUAUUUAAUAUCUUUAAAUUCCUUCUUAAAUCUUAUAUAACUAUAUGCAUUGGAUUAUUUGUUCUUAUAAUGUAUUUAGUUUAUAUCAUUUUAAUUUCAAAUGUUGAAAUAACCUUGAAUUCUUGGAAUGAACUCAAUUUUUUCCUGGUAGCUUUUGAAAUAUUGCUAUAUUCAUUUUGCAAAUUAUUUAUUUGGAAUAUUUAUAUCUAUGUGAAGAGAUUAGCUUGUGAUACUUCUAUCUUAUAAUUUAUCAUCAAAUUUUGAGUUAUAGUGUUAAGAGUUAUAAAAUAAUUUUUGAAAAGUGUUGAUUUUUUUCUCUAUCUUCUGAAAUAUCUGCAUAGAAUUGGUCAUAUUUAUUUCUUAAAUGACCACAAGAAAUCUAACAUUCCCUAUAUUUGAUAUUUCCUUAUGAGAUUUACAGGUCAUAUCUUUAAUCAUCCUCAGAGGAAUACCCUGAGAUUGUAGUGAUGUUUUGAUAAGAGUCAGAAUAAUCAGAAAUCUAUGUUUUCUGCAUGGUUAUGUAUCGAAAAAGUGACUGUGGCAGGAGAAUAAAAGCCUACCUCCCCUACCCCUAGGUAGGGUAAUCAUUACUGCAUAAUUCAUACUCCAAAUUGUCUUGUAGGACUAUGCCUAAGUCUAUUCCUGAAGUUGUAUCCUUGCUUGGACAUUUCACUGUCAUGUCCUGUGGGUUUAUCAUGCCUUACUGGUUUAUUCCUAUAACAUGUCCUGAACAAGUCACUUUCUGGGUUUGUUUCUAGGAAACUUGACUUAGAAACAGUGUUUGUACUUUAAUUCCCUGAUUAAAAAACAACAACAACAAUAAACGAGCAAACAUGAAGGCAUGAGAAAAUGGUCACUUAGCUUUUUCUAAAGCUUAAAAGCUUAUAGUCUAAUUUUAUCAUGUCUAUAUUUGUUUAAUUUAUACCUAAAUUCUGAGGAGGAAAAUCCUUGAGCCAUAAUCAUGGUGGAAGCAAAAUUAUGACAUCCAGAUCAAAUUUGUGCUCUGGGAAGGCUGUUGUGCUAUGUCAGGUUUUUUCAAAGGGUCAGGCAUCUAAUAAGUUUUAAAUGAAUUUAGUUAUAUUUGAAGGAGAUAGGUUUUAAGAGGUUUCAGUUUAAAAGAAGCUUGUGGAAGCUUGAAAAGAUAAGUAGAUAAGCAAAACUUCAAUAGCAGUAAAAAAGGAAUUCAUAUGUGUGUGCAUAUUAAAAUUAUGUAUAUGUGUGUGCAUAUGAAAACUCCCUAGCAUAUUUUCAAAGAUAUUUUAAAGUAUGUAACCACCUCCGUUAUCUUCUUCCAAAGAUUGGGGAAUGAUCUUUAGUCUCUUUUUUCAUCUCCCUUAACAUCUUUUAAAUUAAUUAAAUAACACCAGUCUUCUAUAUUUGAUGAGAAAGCUCAGUAGAGAGAAACACAGGUGAAUGUAAUUAAAUCUAAUGAUUUAUUGAAUAUUGUCAUAAUCAUUCAAUUUUAAGUAAAGAAAAAGAGAAGGCAGGAGAAAAGUGGGACAGUGUAUCAGAAAAUAUGGACGACUGUUUAACCAGAAAUUUUUAAUGACUAUUACUAAGCUACUGAGUUAUUGAAUAUGUUGAAUUUGGUCAUCUGAUAACUGAUGAGCCAAUUUUAUGAGGUAUAGCAAAUGGAUAUUGAGUCUUGUUAAAAUAUAAAUGGAAAGGGAGAGAAAAAGAAGAUUUCAUUUGUGAAUACAUGUUGAGAGAGGUUUGGAUGUUGAAAGAAGAAAAAAAAUUAAACAAAGCCUGGAGAGUAGAACAUGUGUUCGUGCUGUGCAGAUAAGGUAGACAGAACAUGAUUGAAAAACAUGUGUGAAUAACAUAGCAAAGUCUUGGACAAGAUAGUGAUUGUUCAGUACAUAUUAAGCAUUGGAACCUAUUAGGAAUUAAUUUGGAUUGGUGGAAAGGAAAAUAUGGAUGUAUUUAUAAGCCAUGCACACAGUUUGGUGGUGGGUUAGUGAAGGAGUUUGUAACAAAUGUCUAACUCAGUGUGCUGUAACCAUAUUCUAUUUUGGAGACAACAAACAAAAUAUGAAGAAGGAGUAAGCUAAUGGAAAUAAAGCAACAAUUAACUUGAGUUGGAAUAACCAGAUUUUGCAUCAGAUAAACUAUACCACCACUUUACACACUUAUCCAAAUCAAGAGUGACUAUUUAGUUAGCACUGAAUAAGCUAAUCUCUUUCAUAUGAAUACUGGUCAAAUAAAUUAUGAUCUGAGAGUAAAGCAAGAGGGUCCUACUGAAACACAGUUUUACCUGUUUCUUCUGUUCUAUACCCUAAGAAUUCCUUUGCAUUUUAAAAUUUCUUUACUAAUUAAAUGUCCUAAAGACCAACCCCAUAGUCCCUUGGCUUGUGCAAAGCUCCAAUGUACUUUGAAGUUGAUUUCAAAGCACACAUUUGCGUUUGUCAUGCUCUUGAAUUCCAGUUUUUCUUCUGCUCCCUAACCAUGGGAAGAAUGUGUGUGGAUACCUGGUUCCCCACAGGAACCAGGCAUCCACACACAUAUACACACACUCCAGACAUGUCCUAUUUUCAUCUUGAAAAACUGAAGGCAGUGCAAUUCCAUCUCAGAAGAGGACACAGGAAAACAUGAGUUAGGACAAAUGACUUUUUUAUGCAUGUAUUUGCAGGGAAUGUACUGAAAAAUCAAGCUACUCAUUCAUUUAUAUACAAACAUGACUCUAAAAGCACAUUAUUCUGUUUUUAUUAUUCAUGUUUUUCCUCAUUAUUUUUUCCAGAGCUUUUACCAUAUUACUUUUGUAUAUUUGAUGAUUUGCUAUAUUUCCUGACCACCAUAAUUUUCUGGGACUCCAGACACAUUUAGUUGCUCAUUUAGAGGAUGAAUUUCAAUUAAUUUCCAUAUAAAAUAUUAGGAAAUAAAUUAUAAAACUAAUUUUAACUUUUAUUUUUCCUAACUUUUGGGACAACUAUUUAGGUUCAACCCAUUUAUUGCUUACAAAUCUUUUCCCUAAUAAAGUAUGAUUUGAGCAAGUGAUCACAUUUAAUAAUAUAUGUGUAUCAUUUUAAAUAUUGGGAUUCUUAUCUUAUGGAAACUAUAGUGAUAUAAUCUUUAAAUAAUUUUUAAAUUUAACUUUAUGAUAUCACUUUUAUAGCAUACAUUUUUGUGGCAGUCAUCAAUGCUCUCUGUGUGUGUUUAUAUCAAAUUAGAUAAAGUUUUAUUGAAAGAUUGCAGUGAUCCUUUACACGCAGCAAUGAUCAAGCGUCUCAGUGUCUUCAAAAUAUCCUAAACCUUGGUUAAAAGUUUAAAAUGAAUUCUUUUGACUUCUUCUUAUACUGUUCUCUUUUGCUUUAAUUCCCUGCUAUAAUUUUUUUAUUCUUUAUCAAAAACUUUUCUUGUUCAGAUUACUAUAUGUUUUUCUGUCCCCUGACUGAAACCUCAUUAUUAUAAUCAAUAAUAAAGCUCUGUGUUUUAUAUGUCUCUUGUGAUAUUUAAGAUUUUCCAGUGUGUGAGGUUGACUGGUUGUGUAUAAGACAUGCCUAACAUGGACGAAUUAGUAGCCCAGGAGCUCCCAAAGGCCAUCGCUUAUUUAUGAUAUAAUUUACAUGUAAUAGCUUAUUGUUACUUUGAAACUUAGGUAAUAAGACAAUGAAAAUAAUUUAAUUAGUGGAGGUAACUUGGCUAAGCAAAAUAAAGAAAGAAAGAAAAAACAGAAAGAAAGAAAAUGCAAAUCAUCCCAACAAGAUGGUUUAAAACAUAUGAUUGUGGUAAGUUCCAAGUCAGUUUUAUUUUCACACUGAAAUAAAUAAAUUUAAAGCAUAAACAUGCCAGAAAGUAGUCAUUCCCAGGUAUUUUAAAAUUCAUGUUUUGAGUAAGUAAUGCAUGAUUUCACUGCAGACUUAGAAAGAUCUACCUCAACUGGAAAAAAACUACCUCAACUGGAAAAGUAGAGGGCACUUUUUUUUGUGGGGCGGGGGGAGGACCUCUCUACUCCAAAAAUGCAUAUUAAGUUAGGAGUUAGUGGAAUCCUAAGAAGGAGAAAGUACAUUCUAGUGAAGGGAAUGACUUCUUCAACCAUGCACUCCUGGUAUCUAGCACACGUUCUUAAGCAUUUUUGGUACUCAAUAAGUUUGUUGAAUGGAUGAUUGAAUUUAUCUAUAUGAGGCUGGGGUUUUACUUCUCCCUUUAUAAAGUACAAUAUUAGAAGUUUUAAGAUUGUGAGGAAGAUAUGGGUUCAUAUAAAAGAUAACUAAUUUUUUGUUCUAAAAAUAUAGUCUUAAUUAUAGGUAAUGUCAGAUAGUAGCUGGUUGGAUACUUUUCUUACAAUGUGAAGAUAGUGGAGGGAAAGAUAGAACAAUUUUUGUUUUUAUAACAUUGAAAAAUGUGUAUCAUUUUUAUAGUUUUAGAAAGUUACCAUUUUAAUUGCAAUUCCCCUCUUGAUUCACUAUAAGUAGGCUAAAUUUUUACAUUUUAUUUUUAACAUAAGCAUUUCAAAAAAACAAUUGAGUUGAAGUACAUAUAAAGAAAUUCUUGCUUUCUAGGGAGUCAGUAGAGUAGGGGUUAAAAUAUAUAAACUAGGAGCAAAAAGAUGCAGAUUUUUUUACACAGUCCUCCAACUUCUCCAUCAAUCUCUGUCCCUACCACAUUUUUUUGUGGCCUUUAGAACACGGUGGUGUAAUAGGUGCAUAUAUUUAAGUCUUAUUUUCUUCAUAUGGCGAUGACAAUGAUCUGCUUAGUCUCUUGUCACAUACCUGUUUUGAAGAUCCAAGGAGACGAUGAAGGUAAACUUUUUAGAAAUUAUUAAGUAAAAACAGGUAUAAAAUAUUAUAUAGCAAGAACAUGGUGAUAUAUAGCAGCAGUUCCAUAAAAGAUAGUAAAGACAGGUUGAUUAGUAAUUGCAUAGUAGACUGUCUGGCAAUAUUGGGUAUAAUACUUUCUGUUAUUUUUUCUCAUCUAUAAAAUGGGGAUACUAAUAUUUAGUUCAUAAAAUUGUGAAAGAAAGUGAGUAUGCUAAGUAUUUAUCAGACAGUACAUGAGACUUUGUCACUAUCCUAGUAAUGAUAUGUAAGAGAAUAAUAAACCAGUUAUCAUACACAAAGAUUUCAUGCUAGACUAAUUGUAUGCACCAAUAUUGGAACUUUUGUACAAUUGCCUUGGGCUCCUCUUCAUCUAAUUAUUUUUUGGAGAUCUUUGGUUAUAGAUUAGCUUAUACUAUAAAUAUUUUAUUAUCAUUAAACAAUAAAGUAAAUGAUAGCAGGCACCCAUCACAAAUGUUUAACAAAUGUUUUGGCUUAAUUUUAAAGUCUUCCAGCAGGUUUGAAUAGAGGUUUGAAUAGAGGUUCAUAUAUAUAUAUAUAUAUAUAUAUAUAUAUAUAUAUAUAUAUAUAUAUAUAUAUAUAUUUAUUUUAAAAUUAAAACCCUUUUUUAUUUGGUAAGGAUUUAUUAUUUAGAAAAAAUAAACUGGGAACUUGUCAAAAAUAGUUUCAGAGACUUGAUUUUGAGGGUCUGAUUCAUGUCCUGGGAAUUAGUGUUUAAAGAUAUCACCAGUGAUGCUGACAUAAGUAAUUUCACUUUGAGAACUAUUACUCUCCUGUAUGUCAUCUUCAUGGAGGUGAUGACAGUAAUAUAUAAUUGCAACUUUUCAUUGUGCAUAUUUUACAGAAUAAUCUAUGAUAUCUGCAUUUUCUCCUAAAAGGCUUCCUUUUGUUAUACUGUUAAGGACAAACAGAAAAUAUUUUGGAUUCAAAUUAUUUGAUUCUGUUGAAAUUAUUUUAUUAACAGAAUGAAUCUCAGCUAUCAUAACACUAUGAAAGACUUAGAAUUUUCAGACUUUAAAAUAAAUAAAUCUAGGAAGUAUAUAUUUGUGCAUUUUGAAUUGCUCUAUUUUGUGUUGCUGAUUUAUUUUCCAAUUGCAUUUCUGACAUUUUUAAGAGUGGUCAUGAAAAUAGGAAAUGAAAAAAUAAUUAGCUUUGCAUACUUUCCAUAGAUAACAUAAAAUCCCUGAGGAUAUUUCUAGUGUUUGUUUUAUUUGUUCAUUGUCUGAGUUGCUUGCAUAAUAUACUUCCAGUUUGAUUGCCAACAAUCAAACUAAUUUUAUUGAUUGGUGUGUGGCUCAUGCUGUCCUAAGUUGAGUAUUUAUGUUAAUCAAAUAUGUUCUUUCUAAAUAAUAAAGAUUUACCAAAUAAAAAGAAAGUUGUUUAUUUAAAUGUGUCUGUAUAAACAUAAGAUUAAGACAUACUGGAAAACUUUAGAUCAAGCCAAACAAUUUGUUAAACAAUUGAGAUGAAUGCUCCUAAUCAUGUACUUUAUAACUGAAAUAAUAACAUAUUUAUGAUAUUAAUAAGGAUAGAUUUAGUACAUACUAGGUGCCAUUUACACAUAAAGAUUUGUGAGGUGGGUACUGUCACCUAUGGAUGGUUGAAACUGAUGUUCUGAGAAACUGAGUACUGGGCCAACCAUUACACAUCAUAUAAGUGAUAGGAAUUGAGUCUGUAUAAGUUUGUCAGAUUUUCAGAAUUGAAAAUUGAAAUGAUAAACCAAUAAUUUGAUGUCGGAAAUUAGAGUAGGUUCUAAAUGUUUAAAGAAGAAUAGUUUUACAAGUCAUCAAUGAUGGAAUAAAACAUUUCUCAUUCCAUAUGGAAGGAAAAUUUAAAAAAAACCUAAAAACAUUCAUUUAUUUUCCUUUGGAAAUCUAAACCAAUCUUCUCAGUAAACACAUGCAUUCUUAAUAAUGGUCCUUGCACAUUGAAUGUUACCAGGAUGACAGAAACCGACCAAAGUUAUCAACAGACACAGGCAUAGGAAAAAAGGUUCUUUAAAUUUACCUCUGCAGGAAGAUGGUUCCAACCUAAAGCAAAGAGCAGAGCAGCAGCAGUUUAACUGAAAGUUUGGCUUUCCUGGACUCUGCACUUGCAUUGGAGGUCACACCAGCUGCAAAGGAUGCCUUUGAUUAGGGUGAAAAUCCUAUCAGAUCACCUGAGAAACUAAGCCUAGAUUUGCUUCUUUUUCUCUUGUGGAUACUUCUGGCUACAUAUAGUGCUGUGUCUGCUGCUUAUCACAAUUACAGGCAACUCAGAGAGCAAGUGUGGGGGUGUUUGUAAGCUAAGUGAAUAUGCACCUGGGGAUAUACAUAUUCAAGUCUUUCUACAUAUCUAUCACAAUUACAAAUUUGGGAGUAAAUUAGGUCUUUCAUAGCAUUCCUGUGUGAAGACUUUAGGGUAGAGAGAAUCAAGUUUUGCAUUUUUCACACAAAGAACCACAUUUCAGAGCUUAUUUCCAUUCAUGUCAAAUUAUCACAUUUUGGAAGAUGAAUAUGAAAAUUGCAGUUGAUUGAGAUAUUCAGUCUUUAUUUAUAAAUGUUUUGAAUUUUGUUAAACUUCUAACAAAAUCCAGAAAAAUCUGUUUUGUUAGUUUAUGAAGAAAAUUUGAGAAGAGAUAAAAAAUGAGAUUAUUAAAGUGAAGAGGAUUGUGUUUUUCUGAGUACAUUGAUGGUAUGCUUAAAUUUGGGAAAAGCAGCCCAGGUAGAACAACAACAACAAAACCCCAAAUAUUCAGUUUUAUUUUGAGAAUUUCCCUAUACCUGUGGAUUUUGAGAAUGUUCCUACAUCAGGCAGGCAAGCAAACAGGAAGGGAAGAAGAAAUAAAGUGAAGAGUAGAUAGAAACAAGAGUUGAUUCCAAAGAUGAUUUGUAUUUUAGCAGUACAUGACAUGGCUAAGAAACAGAUCUUGGUAAAAUAAAAAAAGUAACAUGAUAUUAUCACAUAAUUUAGAAAUGUGCUUCCAAAAAGGUCAAGUUAAAGAAUAUAGUAUCAGAGAGAAAAUAUUUUAGGCUAAUAAAUAGGUCCUAGGUGUUGCCAUGGAAAUGUGGAACUAAAAGUUAUUGGAGUUUUUUCAAACAAAAAGAAACAUUGUGAAAUAAUGAGCUAGUUUUGGGUUAAAAAAUUAUCAAGUGACAGUAAAACUAAAGGUAAAUAAGAAAACAGAAAACCAGGUGCUAAAGUUGUAAAUUCAUUAAAAGUGACUAUUUUCGUUUUUCCUUUAUUAAAAUAAAGUAUAUAUAGGAGAAAAUGCAGAAAUUAUUAAAACAUUUUAUUUUUUUUCAAGGAAUGUGGUUUUUUAAUUUUUUUUUCUAUUUUUUGGAACUAAAUGAAAAUAUUUAUUUAUUUAUAUAUAAUUUCUCAUUUUUUGAGUGUACAGGUUGCAGAAUUGCAUUGGUCAUGCAGUCACAUAUAUUUAAAGUCAAUAUUUUUUAGCAAACCUUAGAUUCAAAAUACUCUAAUACAGAGUGCCCAUUUAAAUGAUUCAGUUAUAAUAAAUCAGGGAUUUACAUAGUCUUAAGUCUCUUCCUCCUGGAUCCUUCCAUUUAAUAUUUUCCUUAGUGUAUUUUAUUUUUUGUAGUACUACAGAUUAAACCCAGGGGCAUUCUGCUACUGAGCUCUAUCCCUAGUCCUUUUUAUUUUAUUUUGAGAUAGAGACUGUAAAUUGCUGAGACUGGUCUAGAACUUGUGAUCCUCCACCCUUAACUUCCCUAGUUUCUGGGAUUAUAGAUGUGUUCCACCAUACCCAGUGACCAAAUUAUUUUAAAUGAACCAAAAGUAGAGGUAAUAUUUCCAAAUGAUUAUAAUAUAAUUUAAUGCAAGUUAAUAUUAAAUUUAUGCAAAUAUGAAUGCAUGCUACAAUUUUUGAUCUUUAGGUUAUAGAAAUUGGUUUGUGAUGAGAUUUAUUUGCUUUGUGUACUUAAAUAAUUUUUAAUUGAAAUGUGAGAAUAUAAAAUUUCCAUCAAUAUUUUAAAAUCAAGGAACACCAGUAGGGUUAUGUCCUUGAGGAAUAUUUAAAGAAUUUUCGUGCUCAUUGUUUUCUAUGAGGACACAUAAUAAUGAGCAAAAAAUAAUGGUUUUCUCUCUUAAUAUGAACUAAAGAGAAAGGGUUCACUAUAAAUACAGGCCACUACAAUGAAUCUCCAAAACAAAACAAAACAAAAGAGUUCAUUCAUUUAUGUUGGGAGCCAUUAGCCAAAUAGGUAUGACAAUUUCCUUGCCAGCUUACCCCAUGUUGCAGUGACAUUGCUUAUAGGUGACCUUGCUCAAGGACCAGGGCGGAUUAGGGUGUUCCCGGUUUAGGAUAAUCAGGUUUAGGGCGUUCCAGGUUUAAGAUUAUUCCUGCUGGGAAUAGGGCGUAUCCUGCUGCCUGAGUUCCCCUUGAGUUCUCACGGGAUUCAGACAGUAUAUUUUGGGACACAGAAGCCCAGUGGUGGUGGAUUUGGGCAGAGAACGUGGAUUUCCCCAGAACGUGAUUGUAGACGGCUGGUGUGAGUUCGGGAAUAAAGAGUUGCUGUUUGGAUCUACAAGCUGUGUGGUGGCUCGUGAUUGUGUACCCAGCCAGACUGCGGCACAUUUAUUUAUUCUGUCAUGUUAUGAAAAUUUACUGAGCAUUCAUUAUAUGAAACUCUCAGGCAUUAUGAAUCAAGAGACACCCUGGAAAGAAGCUUUUAUUUCAUCAGGCUUAUGGUAAAAAUCUGAAUUUUUAGGAGAGAUUAAGUUAAUAUAAAAAUACAGCUAAUUUAAGAGGAAGAGUUUUAAGAAAACAUAACUUCAAUACAGAAAUAAAGACAUUUAGCUAUAUGUGGUACAAUAUGGUACACUGAAAAAGUAAAAAGAAAAAUUGUUAACAAGUAAAUAUACAUAAACACACCCACAAUUCAAGGGCAACAAGAUACUUGUAUAAAUUAUUAAGUAUCUAUGAUCUACCCUGAACUAAACUAGAAUGGCCUAUUUUUGAAAAUCAAGUAGGUUCCAAGAAACAUUUUUAAAGUGUUGCUCUUUGCAACUCCACAAAACAUAAAUCUUCGGAUUGUUUGGUACUUUAUUCAAUAUAAAUAUGAGUAUGUUAAAUGCACAAAACUUAUCUGAAAUAUUAUAGCAUCAAAAUAAAAUAUAGUCAUCAGAUAAGUACUUCCUAGAUGAUAAUUUUCUAGGGAUAGUUUUUGGGAAGAUAUUUAAUUAUCCAUGAAACUGAUCAGUGUUUCAUUUUUCAAUGGAGUUCAAAUGUCUUAAUGAUAUUUUCUAUUAAGAUUUAAUUUAAAACAUUGUAAUUAGUUUUAAAUGAUGUUUCGAACAUCUGAAAAUCUUCCAAUAACAGUAUCUUUGCACUUGAAUGAGUGAGAAUGCAAAGCUUUUGGAAUAUGUUAGGGCUGUUUCUUUUCAACUGCAUUAUCAAGCAAGGGAAGUUGCUGGAUACUAUUUUUGAUUAUAGUGAUUAGUAUUAAUUGUGACAAUUAUUAAAUUAAUUGGCUUUGAAAUACCUGAAUAUCCGGUAGAAAACAUACAGUCUAUGACUUCUUUAUAUCUCCAAAUUGAUAUAGAAAUUUGAAACUAAAAGAACUGCUUAUCAAUGAUGCAAUUAAAAUAGGAGCUAAUUGUGUUUAAAAUUGUGUUGAGCAAAUUUUGAUGAUAAAUGGCAACAUAUCCAAGAAGCUAAUGUUCUCUGAUUAACCUGACGCUUUGACUUUUGCCGGACACAAGGACAAUUAGAAGAUUACAACCACAUUUGGUAGUAAUUACUGGUGAAUUUAUACAUAGGGUGAUGCAGAGAAAGGUAAUAUUAGGGGGCAGUAACUAAUAAUUACUUUAGAUUGUAAAAACUGACCUGCUUGUACCUACUGCUCUGUCAAGGAUACCGAUAGGUUAAAAUUUUGAAUUGAACAUUUCCAGAAAUUAAUUAAUCAAUCUCCCAUGAACAUUUUAAAAAAGUAAAAUAAAAUAAAAACAUCAACUGAAACAUGCAAAUAAUAAUACUUAUUUACAGAAAUAGGCAUAUGAAAAUUUGAUCACAUCGAAGUACAGAUGUUAAGAAACAAUUGAUUAUUCCCAUUUUUUAAAGGGUCAUGAGAUGUAACAUGAAAAGGAAAAAUUGCAGCCACAUACCACUUGCAUGUGCCAUUUAAAAAGAUGGUUGUUUGGCAUGAAGAAAGGUUAGGAAAGCUUUUUCAUUUGUACCACUCACAAAUAGCUUCUAAAGCUGAAGAAGUGGGGAUUGUCUGUGUGUGUUAUGAUUUGUAUCUGGAAUAUCUCCCCAAAGCUCAUUUGUUGAAGAAUUUGUUCCCAGUACAGCAAAACCAGAGGUGGAACUUCAGAUGAAAUUAUGGGAUCGUGAGGGUACUGACUUCAUCAGUGGAUGAAUCAAUCUAUUGAUAACCGGAUGAUUUACAGGAAGAUGGAGGAAAUGGUAGGCAGGGAGGUGGGACAUGGUUGGAGGAAGUAGAUCACUGGGAGCAUAUCCUUAGGGACUUUAAUCUUGUCAGUGGCCCCUUCUCUCUCUGUCUCUGCUUCCUGUCUGCCUUGAGCAGAGCAGUUUUCUUCCACUGUGCCCUUCAGCCAUGAUGCUUUGACUCAGGCCCAGAACAAUGGAGUCAACCCAAACCUCUAAAACUGUGGUUCCAGUAAAUCUUUCCUCCUUUAAGUGGUUCUUUUCAGCAAAUUAAGUUGUUUGGUCACAACAAGGUAAAACUGACUAACUGUAUGUUUGUGUGUGUGUGGGGGGUGGUGGUUGGGGAGGCAUUCUCCUAUAACUCCCUGUUUCAAAUGAGAACACCAGCAGACUGUAUAAAUAAGUGGUCUUUAACCCCAAUUUAUUUACUUACUUUAUCAAUUUAUAUAUUUUUGUUUCUAUAUAUUUCUGUACUUGAGAACCAUUUUAUCUAAUUCCUCCUAUCUGUAAAUAAUUUGUUUUGUUUAAUAUGUUCCCUAGUAGUUGGCAUCUAUCCUUUCCAAAUGCAUAUGGUUGCUUUGUAUGCAUAUAGUUUUAAUUUAUGUAAGUGACAUUUAUUCUCUAUUUUAUUCCUUUUAAUUAAAUUAUUUUAUCAUGAGGACUAUGUUUUUAAGAUUUCUCCAUUUUCUUGGGCCUACAUUUAUUCAGAGGGUUUGUUACUGUAUAAUUUCCCCCGGCAUAUAAAUCCACCAUGGUUUAUCUAUCCACCCUCCCACUGAAUGACAUUAAACUUGCUUCCAAGUCUUGCUGCUACAAGUAACACUUAAGUGCAUAUUCUUGAAUGUGUUUCCUCAUAGGCCAUAUGUGUUGUUCUUUUAAAGUUGCUGCUUCAUAUGGUUUUUAUAUUACUUGCAUAAGUAAUGUAUCAUUUUUCAAGAUGGUCACAUCAGUCUGUAUUUUCUAGAACAUGUGGGAAUAAAAGUAUCACCAUGAAAAUUUUGUGGAACAAGAUUGUCAGCACAAAAUACAUUUUCAAUUCUGUAAAUUUGCUGCUAAUGAACUGAGCCCAUUUUUCUAAUGAGAAUGUUCUCUUGUUUAUAUCAAGAAUUCCUUGUAUGUUCCAGAUAUUAAUUCCUUUGUUGGUAUUAGACACUGUGAUAAUGCUCUUUUAUAUAAUAUUUGGGUAUGAAUUCUAUGAAAUCUUUGGAAAAUAGAUUUUGUAUAUUCAAAUUAUUUAAAUUUUUAGACUCAGGUUUAGCUUUUAAAACUGUUUUUUUGUUUGUUUUUUUUAAGGAUAGGCUUUCUCUGCCUUAGAUCAUAAUGCUAUUGUUCUUUGUUUUCCUCAAAAUUUUAUCUUUCAAAUUUAAAUCUUAAUUUAUCUGAAUUCUAUCUUCUUAAACAGGGAUAAUUUUUUUUUAACUACAUAGAGUGAACAACUUUUCUAAGAUCCAUUUAUAAGAAAAUAUGCUCUCUCUCUUGAGGUAUAUGUCCAGGAAUGAUUAACAGAAUAGGCAAAGUCCCACAUUUUCAGGUCAAGAAUCAAAUAAAAAUGCAAGAAUUCUUAUUACAUAGUGAUACAAUUACUUAAUCUCAAAAGGAAAAACUAAAAAAAAAUAAUAAACAAUGUUCAAUUUCAUGAUAAAACACAAUAUUUAAAUACUACUCUAGAAGAAACCAUUUUUUAUUUUUAUAUUGGGAAAUAAUUAAAAAGAUGAUCAUACCUUGUGCAGUUUGGAAGGUGUGACAUGAAUGGCACUCUCAGGGUAGUGUUACGGAAGUAAUAAAUUGAGACAAAAUUUCAGGAAGAUAUCUCUUUAAUAUUAAAGAUAUUUUUAUAUUUAUAGUGGCCAAUCCAGAAAUUGUACUUCUGAAAUUUUAAAAGAGGAGAUCCUCAAUGAAGGAUUGAUUUUAUAUAUUAUGCAAAUCACAUAAUGGAAUAUCAAGUAACUAUUAAUUUACAUGGGCAUUAAUGUUCUAUGCUCUUUAUUUUGUCUUGAUUAAUAUUUAAUCAAACUCUUUUUGUAUCAUAUACUGUGCAACUAUUGACGAAUGAAAUGGAUGUGAAUAUUAUUUGAAAAUACAUCUGAUGAAAUUAACAACUUAUCAAUAUCUGAUUAUGAAAGAAUGCAUAGUAUUAUAGUUUAAUAAAAUUUAUUUAUUAUCAUAGAAGUGAUAUUUGAAACUACUAAUUGUUAUUUUGUUUAUAAUAGUUCUCUCCCUAAGUGAGUUUUCUUUUUAUUCUUUAUUUUGUAUUGUUAUUUUAAAUGUACAUUUUUAGAACCAUAUAAUAAGACAAUUUCACUCUAAAGCAGGGCUUUGAUUUGUUCAAAAGAAAGAUUAUUGAAGGAAUUAAAAAUUAUUUUUUUUUUAAAAAAUCAAACCCUCUGUAUUUACUGAGUAAGCAUGUUUGUCAAACCAUUUAUAUUACUAAGACUGCUUGAACAUAAGAAAAUUCAUCUCAAAAUAUGUAAUAUGUAUUACUUCCGUUGUGUUAAGUUACAUAUGUUAAUUUUGAAAAAUAACUGAAGAUGUGUCAUAUUAUAAAAGAAGAAAAAGAUCAACACAUUGGUAUUUGGCAAUAGUGUUGUCUAGUGUUAUCAAUAGGUCAUUUGUAUUUAGUUAAAUGUUUCCUGUUGAUUAGGGGUAAAAAUAAAUCUUAAAACAUUUGUUAUGUGUGGAAACAUUUUAUAUAUCCAUCACAUGAAUUUUAUAAAAUGUGUAGUAGGUAGCAAAGUGAUCUAUUUCUUCAUAGCUUUUUAAAAAAUGAAACAAAUAAUCAUCAAAUGGACUUUUCUUUUAACAUUAAAUUGAAUUAAGAGAAUCUUUGAUUUACAAACUAUAUAGUCUUUCUAUAGGGACCUAAAAUAAUAUUUUCCAGUUAUAUUCUUUUCUGAUGAUCCAUCCUAAUGUGGGAAUAAACCUUAAAUAAUACAAACAAAUUGAUAGUUCACAAGUCCCUUAGACUGUUUUUCUUAAAUGUCAAAUAUCUCAGGUGAAUUUUGGGCUAAUGUUGAAUCAAAAUAAUUUUAUUGUUCAAUUCUCUGGAAGUGUUGAAGGGCAAAUGUUCUACAGCUUUGGUGUACUUAUUAAAUGAGUUCUAUGCACAACAUUUGCUUAAAAAUCCUAUUGUUUUUGGCUUAAUUGCUGUUAAGCUCUUCUGCAUCCAUCUAGCCUUAUUAUUUAGUAAGAGGGAACUCUAUAUGUUGGAAAUAAUUGAUUUUAGUGUUAGGAUAGAUUACAUACCUGGAUCUGCCUUUCACCAGGUAAACAGGCAUCAAUUUUCCCAGUGAUCAAAUCAGUAUACAGAUGUUCUUGCAAGAUUUCUAUAAGAAUUCAAUGAGUUAAUGAAAGUGACAUUCAGAAAGAAGUAGUCCAUUUAUGAAAACUGUUAUUAUUAUGCCUAUUUUGUAAUAUUGAAACCACAUCAUCAUUUUGUGGAUUUUUAUUCAUUAUUAUUUUCUUAAGGAAGGGACAUGAUUGCUAUGAUAGAAACUACAGCUGGGUCCAGUGGUGCAUGCCUGUAAUCCCAGCGGUUCAGAAGGCUGAGACAGGAUGAUAGCGAAUUUAAAGCCAGCCUCAGCAAAAGUGAGGCACUAAGCAGUCAGUGAGACUUUGUCUAUAAAUAAAAUACAAAAUAGGGCUAGGGACGUAGCUCAUUGGCCAAGUGUCUCUGAGUUCAAUCCCCAGUUACCACCCCUACUCCGACAAGAAAAAAAGGGCUGGGUCUGGGCUCAGUGGUAAAGCAUUCCUGGUCUAAAAUCUUCACUAUCAAAAAAACAAAUACAAAACAAAACAAAACAAAAAAACCACAAAUUGCUUACCUAGUUUUCAUUCUCUCCAUUUAAAAAUAUUUUUUUAUUUGUUUUAAUUAGUUAUACAUGACCGUUGAAUACAUUUUGACACAUCCUACAUAAAUGGAGUAUAAAUUCUCAUUGGUUUGGUUGUACAUGAUAGAGUUACACAGGUCAUGUAAUCAUAUAUGCACAUAGGACAAUAAUGUCCAAUUCAUUCUACUACCAUUCCUGCCCUCAUGCCACAUCCCCUCCCUUCACUCCCGUAUGUCUAGUCCAAAGUACUUCUAUUCUCUACCCCACCUACCUUAUUGUGAAUUAGCAUCUGCAUAUCACAGAAAACAUUUGGCCUUUGGUUCUUUGGGGUUGACUUGUUUCACUUAGCAUAAUAUUCUUCAGUUCCAUCCAUUCACCAGCAAAUGCCAUAAUUUCAUUCUUCUUUAAAGCUAUGUUCCAUUGUGUAUAUGUACCACAUUUUCUUUAUCCAUUCUUCUGUUGAAGGGCACCUGGGUUGGUUUCAUAGUUUAUUUGAGCUGCUAUAGACAAUGAUGUGACAACAUCACUGUAGUAUGCUGAUUUUAAGUCCUUUGGGUAUAAGCUGAGGAGUGAGAUAACUGAGUCAAAUGGUGGUUCCAUUCAAAGUUUUCUGAGAAAUCUCCAUACUGCUUUCCAGAGUGGCUGUACCAGUUUGCAGCCACACCAGCAACGUGUAAGUGUACUGUUAUGGCAGGAUUGCAAGAAAUCACUGGGCCAGUCUUGCAGCAGGACAUGAAACAGUUAUUCACCAGCUGAAAUUUCGGAUUCACCAGCUGGAGGGGUAAGGGGCAGGCGGCAAGUCUACACCCUUCAACACCCUCCAGAGGUUAGAGGAAACAUUUUAUAGUUGAAAACCACAAGUAAAGCAUGUCAGUACAUUAAUCAUAAGUGGUUGUUGCUAUGAUUUAAAAACCAUAAAAAAAUCAUGAGAUCCAAAAUUAUAAGCAGAAGGGGAGUAGGUCAAAAUGACCCUAGCUGAGUAUAAGUUAAAGAAUGGUUACUAACAUGUAGACAAUCAUUAACGUUUUAUGCAGUUAGAAUACAUUGCACAAGUACAGUGGAUAAGAAUUGAAGGAACGAUUUUGUCAUUUAGUGUUGUCAAUAUGCUAUGCUAAGCAAUUGUUGGUAGGUACAGAGGUGGGGUUUUCCCAUAAGAGAAGCAUUUCUUACAUAACAUGGAGUCUCAAGGUAAAAUGGAGUCUGUUUGGUCACUGCCCAUAUAACCUGGCCCAUAACAUACUACUUUCCACAGUGGUUGCACCAAUUUGCAGUCCCACCAGGCAUGUAUGGGUAUGCCUUUCCCUACACAACUUCACUAACAUUUAUUGAUAAUUGCCAUUCUGACUGGAGUGAAUUGGAUUCACAAUAUAGUUUUGAUUUGCAUUUCUCUAAUUGCUAGAGAUGUUGGACAUUUUUUCAUAUAUUUAUUAAUCAACUGUAUUUCUUCUGUGAAGUGUCUGUUCAGUUCCUUUACCCAUUUAUUGUUUGUUUGUUUGUUUUGUAGUGGUAAGUUUUUUUGAAUUCUUUAUCCUCCUGGAGAUUAAUGCUGUAUCAGAAGUGUGUGUGGUAAAGAUAUUUUCUCAUUCUAUAUGCUCUCAAGUAAUGAAAUAGAGGACUCCAUUAAAAGCCUACUACGAAAAGCCCAGGACCAGAUGAAUUUGUGGCCAAGUUUUAUGAGACCUUCAAAAAAGAAUUAAAACCAAUACUUCUGAAAUUAUACCAUGAAAUAGAAAAGGAGGGAACCCUUUCAAACUCAUUCUGUGAAGCUAGUAUCACUCUGAUACCAAAACCAAGCAAAAUCAAAGAAAACACAUAAAGAAAACUUCCCUUAUUAAUAGAAAAAGUUUUGAGUUCAGAAUGAUAAGGAGCUUAAAUUAAAGAGAGAUUUUGUAUCUUCUUUUAUAGAUAGUGGGAAACAUUUAUCUUGUAGUUCUGGUUUUUGUUUGUUUUUGUUGUUUUGAGAGUGGUUUUUGCUAAGUUGCCCAGACUGGCCUGGAACUCACAAUUUUCUUGCCUCAGCCAACUGAAUAGCUGGGAUUAUAGGUGUGCAUCACUGCUCCGGGCUAACUCCUUGUCAUGAAUGUGGAUGAUAUUGGUUCUAUAAGACUUUUUAUACAUUUAGGUUUCGGUUAUAUCUAGAUGAACACUAUGUCCAACUGAUGGCAAAUUUGGUUAGGAAGAAUGAAGAUUUUAUAAGUAUCCAAAAUAUACCUUGCAUAAUGUGAUUGGGAUGGGAUCUGGGAAGGAACCUACUAAUUGUGGAUUGGAAACCUAUUGACUCCUGGACACCUGAUAUGCAUCAAUGAAAAUCUGGUCAAAUCAUUCUUCUUGGGGUGGAAACCUACUGAUGACUGAGGUCAUAAUUAUGAGGUAAAUGGAAGAAGAGACUGAGAAUAAUGGAUACUUCUUGCUCUUUUCUAAGGAGUAUUGUAAGAAAAAACAAAACUAAAAUGAGAGGAAAUAAUUCUAUCCUAAAAGUCAUUUUUUUGUAGCCAGUAAUCAAAAUUGACUGAGAGAUCCACAAUUUGCAGUUUGAAAGACUGAUAAUACUAUAGGUUGUCAAAGUUAUUAUGGAGUUUUUGAAGCUGAAACCUUAACAGUGUGCAAUAAUGAAGCAAUAGGCUUUUCUGGAGUACUGUUCUUUCUUUCUUUCUUUUUUAUUUGUUCUUUUUAGACAUACAUGACAGUAUACUAUAUUCUGGUAUAUUAAACAUACACAGAGUAUAACUCAUUUUAAUUAAUAUCUCAUUCUUGUAGAUGCACACAAUGGUGAGAUUCACUGUGGUGUAUUCACGUAUAUACAUAGAAAAUUUAUGUCCAAUUUAUUCCACUGUCUUUCCUCCCUAGUCCUAUCCCCAACUCCUUCCUUUCAUUCCCCUUUGUCUAAUCCACUGAAUUUGUGUUCUCCACUGAAUGAGCAGGAGAGCACAACAGAAAGACCUAUUUUUCAGAGUGGCUUUAUUACAGCAGCCAUCAAGCUGAAAGUCUGGGGAGAGACAGAAUGCAGAAGUCAAUAGACAAAGAAUGACAUCUUCAGCCUUAAAGAUUACAUCUAGACAAAUUCUUGGGCUGUGGGUUCAUAUAAUUCAUCAGAAACAAAUAACUGUGUCCAUAGAAAGAUGCAAAAACUCACUGUGGUGCACUUAGACUAUUUUCAAAGAAACAGCUAUGAGUAGCUGUGACACAUGUCACUCUAGGGUCUUCAGUUUCUAUCCACAAUCUCUUUCCCUUGUGCUUCAAGAACCACAAAGCUCUGGAGAAAGAAUUAGUUGUAGAAUGAGGUUCGUGAGGAACAGAACUGUGACUGCAUACCAAUAGAAAUGUGGUUGAAAAUACACAAGACUUUGCCAUUGUCUAAUCCAAGAUUUUGAGGUCCUUUUAGCCCAGCAUUAUCUAGCUUGACUCUACAUAAGGCCUUAUUGCUUUUGAGAAGCCAAAAGAAUAUUCAGAUAACAGUAAAUGACCUAUUGCCUCAGUUAUUGCACAUAGGCAUGUGCAAUAUGGAAAUGAUUUCAUACCAUCCAAAAAGGAAGGAAGCACAAAGGGAAAAAAUGAAAGGCUGAGAAUAGAAAAGAAAUGACAAAAGUCUGAAUAAGGCACAGGGAGCAUAAAAAAUUUUUAGGAAUGGUGUAAAUGUAAGGAAAUUUCACAGGGUCGAUAGCACUCUGAAGUUAAUUUUUUAUGUCAACUUAGCUGGGCUAUGACACUUAGUUAUUUGACUAACACCUAUCUUUGUGUUGCUGUGAAAGCGUUAUUUAGAUAAGAUUAAUGCUUAAAUCAGUAAACUUUGAGUGAGGCAGAUUAUUCCUCAUAGUGUGAACCUCAGCCAAUAAAUUGAGGGACUUAAAAACAGAGAUUGAGGGCUCUUGAAGAGGAUGGCACUUUCCUCUAGACUGUCUUUGGACUCAAAACAUGUAAAAUCAGUUCUUGAUGGAAUUUCCAGCCUGUCACACUGACAGUGCUAAUUUCUGUUAUCUGGAGAAUCCUUAUAAAAGCAAGCAUGUUAACAGCUUAGAAUACUGACCUGUGGAGAGAGUUUUUGGCCUUCAACCCCUAGGUCUUAAGAUGUUAACACAAAUGCGAAUGUGUGUGUGUGUGUGUGUGUGUGUCCAUCAUACUCUGGUGUAAUUCAAACCUAAAUAUAGGAAUUGUGAUUUAGAUGGAGUAAACAGGAGAGUGAGUAUAAGCCCUUUCUAACAAUGAUGCCUGGAAUGUUUAUUUCCACAAACCAGAUGGAAUGAUUCUGCUAAUACUAUUAGUUUAUUGGAAAUACAUAGUAAAUGGGAAAAGAUCAUUUCUAACUGGGUAAGCAUGAAGCAUGAUUCUUCAAUUUUGACAUCCUAACCAUUAAUUUCUUUGCCACUACUAUUUGGUGUAACUAAGGUUUUCUAAAUUUGAGAGAAUUAAAUGCAAAUCUGCCUUCUGUGAAGCAAUGACUUCAAAAUGAAAACAUAUUUGGGAAUGCAAUUUGGAAACUUUAAUUGAUAUAGUGAUUAUGAAAACCAGUUGGUUAGAAAAAAGAAAUUAAUUGGGACAUAAAAAUUUACACAAUUUUAAAAAUGCUUCCAUCAACCUAAGUUAUGUAUGUUAAAGGAAAAAGAGUAAUUGAACUAGAAAAGAAUCAUCAAAAGAUUUGUGAAAUGGUAUGGCUGCAUUGUACAUGUUUUGUAGAGCACAUUCUUAUUAUCUAUUGAAUAUCUUAAUAUUAAAUUCUGCCCAUCUUUGAUGUGGUAGUAGGUUGUUUUCAUUUUUUAAGGUGGAGGUAUCUUUUUGUCUUUUGGUACUAGGGAUUGAACUCAGGGGCCCUUGACCACUGACCCACAUCCCCAGCCCUAUUGUGUAUUUUAUUUAGAGAAAGGUUCUCACUGAGUUGCUUAGUGCCUCAUUUUUGCUGAGGCUGGCUUUGAACUCAUAAUCCUCCUGUCUCAGCCUUCUGAGUUGCUGGGAUAAUAGGAGUGCACCACCACACCCAGCUGUUUUCAUUUUUUAAAUAAAAUGUUUUAAGAGAAAUUACAAAAAGAUGACUGAGAAGUAUGAAUCCAGACGAAAGUAACAAAAGUCAAAGUGUGAAUUAAGGGAAAAAAAGUGAUAGCAUCUUCCCUUCUGUUAUGGUUUGGAUAUGAGGUGUUCCCCAAAAGCUCAUGUGUGAAACAAUGCAGAAGUUUCAGAGGAGAAACUAUUGGAUUGUGAGAGUUUUAAACUGAUCAGUGAAUUAGGAUUAACUGAGUGGUAAUUAGAUGCAGGUGGGCUGUAGCUGAAGGAAGUGGUUAAUUUGGGGCGUGGCUAUAGGGUAUAUAUUUUGUAUCUGGAGCUGGAGUCUCUCUUUCAGCUUUUUUACCACCUCGUGUAAGCUGCUUCCCUCUGCCACACCCUCUGUUGUCAGAUGUUGUGUCUCACCUUAAGCCCUGAGAAAUAGAGCUGGCCUUCUCUGGACUAAGAACUCUGAAACUGUGAGUCCUCAAAUAAACUCUUCCUCCCCUACUAUUGUGCUGGUCAGAUCCUUUAGUUACAGCAAAGAAAAAGCUAGUCCAAACACUUCUCUUUUCUGGAAGAUGACACCUUAGAGAAAGAAAGGUGGUUUGGUUCAAUUUAAUUGUCCACAUGUGUCAAGAUAUGCGACUAAAUCAGUUAGGGUCACUCCAGGUGUAUUUGGGUUGGCAUGAAAUAAUUACACACAGAAACAGAAAGUACCUUUUUCUUAGGGUCUAGUGAGGGUUCUCAACAUUAGGGAUCCAUUGUCAAGAGAGAGCUUGCAUCUGGAUUCUUUAUUUUAUAGGGGGCACACAAAGGGAGGUUCCAUGGAAUGUUCUUUUCAAAUAAGGCAAAGGGUCAGGUUUCAGGGAGUUGAGUCUAGCUUCCUGAAGUCUUCUGGUCAGUAGAUUGAUUGACAUCUUGGCAAGUCACACAGAUCUCAGGUGCUGUGUGGGAUCAAAAGGCAAAGCAAGCAAAAAGGACACAUAGGUAGGUGCACAGCCCAGACAGAGCAGCAAUGUCAGUCCAGUCCACUUGUGUGCUUAAAAUGCUCACAGCUCUCUCUCUCUCUUUCUCUCUCUCUCUCUCUCUCACACACACACACACACACAGCGCCCAUGGCUGGCCCGUGACACACAUGCUUUCAUUAUGCCUUUGAAUCUUAUUAGUAAUGCUUUGAAUCUUUUCUUUGGUUUUCAGAUUUUUCUUUUGUUUUCAGUUUCUGGGCAUGGCAUUCUUUCCAGGUAUAUUAAUUGUAUGUUCUAGUAUUUAAUAAAUACAUGGUGAGAUAUUUUAGUUUUGGAAAAUUCACAUCUAUUAUUUCAUCAAAUAUUACUUCCUCAUUUCUCUUCUCUUCAAUACUUUGAAAAUAAAACAAAAUAUUUCAAAAAAUUCCAGUUGUUUCUGUUUUUAUUAUGCCAUAUAGCACAACUUUAUUGUAGCACAUAACCUCAUCCUCCUCUGUCAUCUCUAUUUUUUCUUAUAUUCACAUUUCUUCUAGCUUCAUUAUCUUCUUUGUCUUCUCCUAUCCAACCUCUUAAAUUCUCUGAAAUAUUUGAAACAAUUCAUUUAUACAUGUGGUACUGGGAUACCCUAAGUCUCUACAAGUGAGGUGAACUUACUCUUCUCAAAAUGCUGUUUAGUAUCCUCAUUAAAACAAAAACCACAAAAAGUAGGGUUGCCAGAUUAGGCAAUUAAAAACACAAAUUGUCAAGUUAAAUUUGAAUUGGAUAAACAAGAGAUAAUUACAAUGUUUGGCAUAUACUCAUGCUUACUGAAGCUUCUUGUGUUUUAUCUAGAAAUUCUAGCUGUAGAUUUUCAUGCCUGAACUACAGUACCAAGCUGCUAAUGAAAGCUAGAUGCCAUAGAUUGGAAUCUUCUGUGUGUAAGCUUCAAAAUAAAGUGAAUGUCAAAUGCUUCCUCUGUCAAGUGAGGAUUAGAAUGAGAUUUGUUUAUAAGACUGUUCUGAGUCACAAAUAUUACUAUACAUGAAAAGUACUUUGCAUUAUAAUUGAUAUAUUAUAAAUGUUUAAUAUACAUUGUUAUUCUUGGAGAAAGUAAAGGUAACAGCUUGCUCAUUUAAUCUUUAAUAUUGGAAGUGGACAAAAUGAGCCAUUAUUACUUAGAUUUUGGUAUACGUAUUUAACUUAGAUUUGGGGAAUCUCAUUAUUUGCUCAAAUUAUUAAAGGAGUUACUCAGAUUCAAGUAAUAAAUCUUUUGAUUAUGUUACAUUUAUUGGUAAUUUUUUCUCUGGUCAGUUGAGAUUAUAGAGGGGUUACAACUAUUAAGUAGGAGGCAGGAAUAUGGACAGGACAUAUUCAAUUGUAAUAGUAUAUUUACAUAAGAAUAAUUAUGAAUGAUUGGCAUGAAAGAAAUGUGCAUAUAAUUUCAACAUUAAAAGAAUUAUCUUCUGUUCAUUUGUUAAAAGUGUUUUAUAAAAAUAGUUUUAUAAACUAUUAUAUUAAUGAUUACUUGAGCAAAAAUUUAUAUAGCACUUAUUGCCCAUUGCCUUAAAAGAUCAUCUUAUUCAGUUUUAGCAAUGGAUUUCUGAGUAAGAAAGUGCCAAUUAUCCUUCCUAUAUUCAAGAUGAGGUAAAUAACGCUGUAAGAGGUUAAACAGCUCAUAGAAGGAAACUAAAUGGAAGAGUAUUAAUUCAAGCUGAAAAUUCAUGCAUUUCCAGCUUUUAUUAUUCUACUGCAAUUCCUUUAUACUUAUCAUGGGGAAGAUUUUAAAUCAUCCCACAAAAGUCUAUUUAACUUACAAUGGAUUGAUUCAGUUUUUUUCAUGCUAAUUUUUCAAGGUAUUAAUAUUGUAAGGCCAACUAUAUCUUGGACUCUAAGAAACUCAGACAAUGGCUCAAAAUGGAGGAACAGAUGGAGUACUCCCUUGCUCAUUUUAAUUUCCAUAAGAGAAGUGACUAAGGCUUUCAAAGAAUCACAUUCUAAGAUUUGAGAUUUAGGAAUCAAAGACAAGUUCUUUUACUGAAGCAUAAACAUAACUAAAAUCUCUCGGAAAUUGUCUUUGUUCAGAGUGAUUUGACAUUCAUUGAAUAUAUAUGUGAAAAUAUAUAAGAAAACCAAAAUAAAUGUCUAUUUUAUAGAUGCAUAAGUUUAAGUGUAGAGGUAUAUUUUUGUAUAAAGAGACAUUUGUACAUGCAGAAGAAUAUAUAUGAUUAUAUAAAAUAUAUAUAUGUGAAUGUAUAUAUGAAUAAUAAAUAAAAAUAUAUGAAUAUUCAUAUAAAUAUAUGUGGAGUUAUAACACUAUUAUUUUCUUUUCAGGGUUUUGAUAGGCUUAGAAAAAAGUUUAGGGUCAGGUUUAGGAUAUGAACACAUAUUUUUUAAAAUGUGAAUAUAUUUAUGAGUCUGUAGGUGAAACUGUAAAUGAACACCAAUAUAAAUCUAUGUGGUGUCACACAUAGAGAGAUUUAAGGUUAGGUGUUUUGUUACACAUUGGUUUAAAAAUAGGGUAUGAACAUAUAAAUAAAUAUGCUUGAAUAGAUAUAUCAAUUUAUAUCUGAAACAAUGAAUAUAUACAUCAAAAAUAUAUUAAAAUUCAUAUGAUUAUACUUGGUCAAAGUAUAUGAAUAUUAAUUUAAAUACAUAUGUAUUCCUAUAAAAAUCAUUUUAUGUUCUAGGUAUUGUUAGGGUUAUACUAAGUUUCGGGACUGGAUCAGGGUUAGCAUUAUGGUAUGAACAUAUAUAUCAUAAAAUAUGAAUGUAUUAAUAUAUUGGUAAAAAUAUAAAUGGAAAUCAAUAUAAAUAUAUCUGGUAUUAUGAUAAAGAUUUAGUGUUAGCUGAAUAGUUAUACAGUUUUUUUGGGGGGGAUACUAGGAGUUGAACUCAGGGGCACUUGACCACUGACCCAUAUCCCCAGCUCUAUUUUGUAUUUUUUAUUUAGAGUCAGGAUCUGAGUUGCUUAGCACCUUGCUUUUACUGAGGCUGGAUUUGAACUCACAAUUCUCUUACCUCAACCUCCCAAGAUGCUGGGAUUACAGGCUUUCAAUACAGUGCCUGGCUGAAUUGUUACAUAUUAAAAUAGGGUAUGAUCAUUUAAGUAAAUAUAUACAUAAAUAUAUAAGUAUAAAUAUAAAUGUACUCAUAAAAAUUAUAAGAAAAUUCAAAAAAGUAUAUACAUGUAUAUUUAUUUAGCCUUAGGGUUGGUGGUGCUGGGCUGAGACUAAAAUUAGGGGUAGAGUUCAGGUGACUACUAGGGAAAAAACAUAUAUAUCAACUGUAUAUAAAUAUAUGCAUGAAUAUAUGUAAAAAUAUAUAAAAUAAUAAAAUAAAUAUGUAUGUUUUCAUAGAUGGAUAGUGUUAAGGUUAGAAUUAUGGUUAUAAUUCACUUUGAUGUUAGUACAUGUAAAUGAAUAUGUAUGAUUUUAUAAGAAUAUAUACAAAUAUGUACAUAAAUAUAUAAAUGAAUAUGUCAAAUAUAUAUGAAUAGUCAUAUAACAAUAUAUAGUUUUACAUAAAUAUUUUUAUCUAUUGAGGUAGUGUUAAGAUUAGGAAUAAGUUAAAAGAGUCAGGGUUAGGGUUAGUAUAUGUAUAUAUAUCAUAAAAUAUAAAUAUAUCUAUUAAUAUGUUGGUGAAAAUAUAAAUGAAAACCAACAUAAAAUAUCUGGUGCAAUAAUAUCUUGCAUGAUAAUAGAGAAGUUUAAGAUUAGGUUACAUUGUUUUUUCUAUCAGGGCAUUGUUAGUUUUAGGAAUAAGUUAAGGGGUAGUUUAAGGGUUAGGGAAUGAACAUAUAUUUUAAAAUAUGAAUAUAUCUAUGAAUAUAUUGGUAAAAAUAUAAAUGAAAACCAAUAUAAAUAUAUCUGGUAUUAUAAUAGAGAGAUUUAACUUUAGAUAAGUUGUUAUAUAUUGGUGUAAAGAUUAGAUAUUAAUGUAUAAAUUAGUAUAUAUUAAUAUAUACAUGAAUUUAUAGGUAAAAAUACAAAUAUAUACAUCAAAAUAUGAAAAUUCAGAUGAAUAUGUACAGAUAUAUAUAUAUAUAUAUAUAUAUAUAUAUAUAUAUAUAUAUAUAUAUACAUAUGCAUUUAGAAUUAUGGUAGGCACUGGGUUAGGACAAAAUUUAUGGGUAGAGUUAUUUUAUGUUUAGGGAAUGUGUGUGUGUGUGUGUGUGUGUGUGUAUAUAUAUAUAUAUAUAUAUAUAUAUAUAUAUAUAUAUAAAGAUAUAUAAAGAUAUAUGAAUAUAUGCAUGAAUAUGUAAGUGAAAAUAUAUAAGAAAACAAAAAUAAAUAGGUAUGUUUUCAUUAAUAUAUAGGGUUAAAUUUAUGUAUAUGGUUAUAAUUUGGUUUAAAGAUGAUGUUAGAGCCUGUAAAUGAAUAUAUAUAAUUUUAAAAGAAUAUAUGUAUGAAUAUAUAUGAUUAUAUAAAUAAAUGUUUCAAAAAUAUAUCAAUAUUCAUAAAUACAUCUGUGAUUUUUAUGUGAACACAGAUUAUAUACGGAUAUUUUUAAGGUUAGGAAUAAUUUAAAGGUCAGUGUUAGGGUUCAUAUUUGGGUAUGAGAAAAUAUCUCAUAAAAUAUGAAUAUAUUGUAGAAAAUAUAAGUGAUAACAAAUAUAAAUAUAUCUGUUGUAAUAUAGUGAUUAGGGUUAUGUGAAUCUUUACAUAUUGGUAUAAAGGUGUGUAUGAACAUAUGAUUGAAAAUAUAUAAAUAUAAACAUAAAUGAAUAUGUCAAAAUAUAUAGAUAUCAAAUAUAUAUGAAAAUUCAAAUGAAUAUACCAUUUUAUAUUUAUAUGCAUUUAGCCUUAGGCUUGGUGCUGGUCUAGAACUAAAGAUGAGAGUAGGGGUAAGGUUAGGUUUAGGGAAUGAAUAUAUACAUGAAUAUAUAUAUGAAAAUAUACAAGAAAGCCAAAAUAAAUAUGUAUAUUUUCAUAGAUGAAUAAGUUUAAGCUUUGGUGUGUGGCUACUAUUUGGUAUAAAGAUGACAUUAGUACAUGCAAAUGAAUAUAUAUUAUUUUAUAAAUAUAUAUACAUAGGAAUAGCAUAUGAAUAUAUAAAUAAAUAUGUCAAAGGCAUAUGAACAUUUAUAUAAUUGUGCAUGGUAUUAAUGUUUUUUAUAUCAUGAAUUUUUUUAGGCUAAGGAAUAAGUUAAAGUUAGUGUUAGGGUUAGGAUGUGAAUGUAUAUAUUAUAAAAUAUGAAUAUAUAGGUAAAAUAUAAAUUAAAACCAAUGUAAAUAUAUCUAGUAUCAUACAUAGAAAUUCAGGGUUAGGUUUGUCAUUACAGAUUGGUGUCAAAUAGAGUAUGAAUAUUGAAAAUGUAUAUAUAUAUAUAUAUAUAUAUAUAUAUAUAUAUAUAUGGAGUAUUACGAUGGCAGAAUAGAGAAGGUCACAUAUUUAGAUUCAUGUUUAUGAAUAUACACACACACACGCACAUACAUUAUGUGUAUAAAUAGAUAAGAAAAUUAUAUAUAUUGUUUCACAGAUUAUCAGUUUAGGAUUAAGUGUAUCAUUAUAAUUAGGUUUAAAGACAUGAUAUGAAUAUAUAUAAGGAUAUAUUAAUAUAUACAUAAAAUUACAUGUAAAUAUUUAAAAUCCAUAUCAAAUAUAAGAGUAUUUAUAAUAUAUGUAUGUAUAUGUAUAUAUAUAUAUAUAUAUACAUAUACAUAUAUAUAUAUAUAUACAUAUACGUAUACAUACAUAUAUAUAUUAUAUAUCAAAACAUUCAUUGUUGGGGUUAUUGCUAAAUUUAGAAAUCAAUUUACUAUUAGUGUUAGGAUUAAGAACAUGUGCAUCAAAAUAUAUGAAUAUAUAUAUGCAUACACAUGUAUAUGAACAUAUAUAAGAAAAUGUAUAUAGACAUGUAUGUUUUAUAGAAUGAUAGGUUUGGUUUAGGCUCUAGUUUUAUGGUUACAGUUUGGCUUAAUAAUUAGGUAAAAACAUGUAAACAAUAAAUAUAAAUGAAUAUUUGAAAAUGUAUGUAAACAUAUAACUAAAUAUGUAAAAAUAAAUGAGUAUUCACAUAAAUACAAUGGUAUUAUAUAAAAAUAAUUUUAUGUUUAGGGGUAUUGUUAGUUUUAGGACUAAAUAUUUAAAUAUGGCUAUUGUUAGUGUAAGGGAGAAACAUAUAUCAAUGAUAUGUAUAUAUUUAUGAAUAUAUACUUGAAAAUAAUCUGAAAUUUAUACAAAUAUAUAAGAUUUUUGUAUAGAUAGAUUGAGUGUUAGGUGUGUCAUUUCAGUUAGGUUUAAAGGUGAAUAUAUAAAUAAACAAGAAUAUAUAAAAAUUAAUAUGUGAAAAUAUGAAUAUAUGUCAAAAUAUAUUAAAAUUCAUGUGAAUAUAUGUGUUCUCGUGUGUGUGUGUGUGUGUGUAUAUAUAUAUAUACAUACAUACAUAUAUAUACAUACAUAUAUAUGUGUAUAUAUAUAUAUACAUACAUACAUACAUAUAUACAUACAUACAUAUAUACAUACAUACCUACAUAGUUAGGGUAAGCGUUAGGUUAGGACUAAGUUUAGAGGUAGGUUUAGGUUUAGUGCUAGAGUAUGAAAAAACAUAUAAAAUAUGAAUAGAUCAAUAAAUAUACAUGUGAUUACAUAGAUGAAAAAUAUAAAUAUAUAUAGUUUCAAACCUGGAUUGGUUUACAGUUAGAUUUUUAACAUUAUUUGUUUUAAAGUUAUUGCAUGAAAAUAUAAAUGAAUAUAUACAGAUAAAUGAAUUCUUAUGUGAAUAUAUAAACAUACUAGUAAAAUAUACAUGAAUAUUUACAUAAAUAUGUGAUAUAUACAUACACACACACACAUUAAGGGAUAGGGUUAGUGUUGGGGUUAGGAUUAAAUUAAUGGAAAUAUCAGGAUUAGUGUUAGGGAAUUAACAUAUAUACAAUAUAAAUGCACAUAUAUAUGAAUACUUAUGUGAAAAUAUAUGACAAAACCUCUAAAUAUGUAUGGUUUUAUAGAUAAAUAGAUUUAGGUUUAGGUAUAUAAUUACAUAUAAUUUUAAAGAUGAGGCACAAAUGUGUCAUUAUAUAUAAAUAUACCUAUAAAUUCAUAUGUGAAUAUAUAUGUGUCAAAAUAUGAAUAUUCACAUGAAUAUGUAUAAUUUUUAUAUAAUAUACUUUUAUAGUUAUGAUUUUUGUUAGAAUUAGGACCAAAUUAAGGGGUAGGUUUAGGCUUUGGGUUAGGGUAUGAAUAUAUAUAUAUAUCUAUAAAUAUGUAUAUAAAUGGACACAUGAAGAAAUGUAAGAGAACCUAUACCAACAUGUAUGGGUUCAUCGAUGGCUAGGUUUGGGUUGAGGUGCAUUGUUAUAUUAUGGAUUGGAAGAUUGAAUCACUAUAUGAAAAUUAAUAUACAUGAUAGUAUAAACAUAUAUGAAUAUUUAUGUGAAUUUAUAAAUAUAUAUGUCAAAAUAUAUUAAUGUAUAUAUAUAUAUAUAUUUUAAAUAAAUCAUGUUUUCUUUAGGAGUAUUGUUAGGUUAGGACUAUGUUUAGGGUUAGGGUUAGGUUAGGGUAUGAACAUAUAUAUGAAUAUAUAUGAAUAUAAAAGUGAAUGUAUAUAUGUAUGUGGAUAUAUAAAUAUAAAUAAAUAAAUAUAUAACUAUAAAUACGUAUGAACAUAUAAAUGAAUACAUAAGUAAAUGUUAAAUGUGAAUUUUCAUAUAAAUAUAUAGUUAUAUAUUUAAUAAUUUUUAUGUUUAGGGUAUUGUUAAUGUUAGGGCCAUAUAUAAGUAGCAUUAGGGUUGUUGUAGGUAUAAACAUAUAUAUAAAAAAUUUGAAUAUAUCUAGAAAAUAUGAAAAUUUAUUUGAAACCAAUAAAAGUAUAUAUGGUUUCAUAUAUGUAGAUUUAAUGUUAGGUGCAUCAUUACAAUUUGAUUUAAAAAUUGGUAUGAACAUGUAAAUGAAUAUAUAUCAAUAUGUAUAUUAUAUAUGAAUAUAUAUGUCUAAAUAUAUGAAAAUUCCUAUAAAUAUAUAUGUUUACCUGUAUAUAUAUGCAUUUAUGUUUAGAGUUAUUGCUAGGGUUAGUACUAAAUUUAAUGGAAUUAUUUAGGAUUAUGGUUUGGAUAUGAACAUUAUCAAUUUAUAUGAAUGUUAUCAAUUUAUAUGAAUGUAUAUAAGAAUAUAUCUGUGAAAUAUAAAUAAAUAUAUCAAAACUAUAUGACUAUUUAUACAAGUGUAUUUUAUAUAUAUAUGUAUAUAUAUAUGUAUGUAUGUAUGUAUAUAUAUACAUAUGUAUAUAUAUAUAUAUAUAUAUAUAUAUAUAUAUAUGUAUAUAUAUAUAAAUACGUAUUUUAAACAUAAAAUUGUUUUAUGUUUAGGGCUAUUCUUAUGGCAAGAACUAAUUCUAGAGGUAGUAUUAGGGUUAGUGUUAGAAUUAAGACUAAAUUUACUCAUAGGUUUAGGGUUAGGUUAUGAACAUGUAUAUCCAAAAGUAUAAAUAUAUGUAUGAUAUGUAUGUGAAAAUAUGUCACUGUGUGCUGCAUGACUAAGGUUCAGAUAACCACACAGAGGAGAUGUGAGCCAUCUGAGAAAUUAAACUCUGAAAUAAUAAGAAAUAAAAGACAAAGAAAAAUGGUGUCACAAUGUGGGCCUGGUGUGUGGAAUGGACAUGAUGGGUUUAAUCUGUAACAAAGAGUGAGUCUCUGGGUGCUUUAUUUAUAGGGAAGCACAUCAGGGAUACUUAUUGUCAGGAAGAGUUCUUUAAGGUAAACAAAGUCAGCAGGAAUAGGCUAAUUGGGGCUUAUCUAUUUGUGGGAUAUCUUCUUCUUGCUCAGGACAGCUGGGCUGUUGAAUGUGCCCAUAUUUCUUUCAUUCCAAGGCAGCAGGCAUCUGAAUUCAAAGGUAUCAAACCCAUAAAUACUGCUCCAGGCAUGGAAUCAGCCCCAUUAACAGUGGCCACCUGCAAAUGGGCGUAUCUCUCAGCACCAUUAUACUGAGAGAAACCCAAGAGGGCAGUUUAGCUGUCCAAGGCUAUGGAGUUCAAAGCAAUGAUUCAUUGCCACUCCCUACAAAAGAACCUAUAUAAAUAUGUAUGGCCUCAUAGAUGGAUAAUUUUAGGGUUAGGAGUAUGGUUGUGAUUUGAUUCAAAGAUUGUGUAAUAUAUGCAAAAAGAAUAUAUGUGAAUAUAUAUGUGAAUAUAAAAAUAAAUAUGUCAAAAAUAUGAGUAGGAAUUGAAAUGAAUAUGGUUUUAUACAUAAAUGAUUUUUAUGUUUAGGUUUAUUAUUAGUAUUAGAACUUAGUUUAUGGCUAGUUUUAGGAUUAGGAUUUGUGUAUGAACAUUUACAUGAAAUAUGAAUCUGUCUAGGAAUAUACAUGUGAAAAUACAUAUGAAAUCCAAUGUAAAUAUAUAUGGUUUCAUACAUGUAUAAGUUUACAAUUAGGUGCUGUUAAAACUUGGUUUAAAGAUAGGUUAUGAAUAUAUAAAUCAGUGUAUAUAAAUAUGUAUAAAUUUAUAUGUGAAUAUAUAAAUAUAUGUCAAAAUAUAUAAAUAUUCAUAUAAAUAUAUGGUUUUAUAUGCUAUACAUUUAUGGUUAGCAUUUGGGAUAGGACAAAAUUUAGGGGUAGGUUUAGGCUUAUGAUUAGGGUAAAUGUAUAUAUCAAUAUACAUGAAUAUAUGUGUAUAUAUAUAUAAAUAUGCAUUUGAAAAUAAGUUGAAAAAACUUUAUAAAUAUGUGUGGUUUCAUAGAAAGCUACAUUUAACGUUAGGUGUAUUGCUACAUUUGUUUUAAAUAUUGUGUAAAUACAGGUAUAAAAUCCAUUCUUCUAUAUUUGUUUCAGUAAAUUUUUCUUAGAAACAAAAAUCUGGAUGAUCUACUACAUCUUUGAAAAGGCAAUCAGAACAGAGUUUAAUAGAAAAGUAAUAGCAAAAAUAAAUAAAUAAAUAAUGAAUAUUUCAAAAUUAUCUUUCCAUGGAAAUGUUCCCUUAGAAAAUAUUCUUUCACUAUUGAAUUAUGUGCUAUUUGAAAAUUUUGACUUAGGGAUGCAGAGUAUGGUCUGGAGGGCAGAUAUCAUUAGGAAGGUGAAUGACUAUAAUCUUUUCCUUCUCCUCCUUAAAUCGUUUGAAGGCAACAAGCAAUGCAUCAAUUUAAAAGCACAAGCCAAAACUGACCUCCUAAAUUUACUUCUUUGCACAGGAGAACUGCAUACCAAACCAAGUUACUAGCAAAAAGUUUAGAAUCCUGAGAUUAAACUUGGAAUAACUUAAAGUAAUUUUUGCAUUUUCUUUUGGCAUUAAUUCCUUUCCUUAAUUCAAACACAACAAUCCAUCCAGCACAUUAAGCUGACUUUCAUUCAAUAUACUUAUAAAAUUCUUCCAUAUAGUUUCUCACUAGCUUUUGAAAUAGAAAUCUUAUCUGUAAUUUAAUGCAUUCAAUUCUGACCCUAAUAUUGUCAUAUAUUUGUUUGUGGUACAUACCAUUAAAAAACAAGUAAAAUAUACCUAUCUAUAUAUGUAAAUAUUUUUCUCUCUUAUCAGUAAUAUCUCUCAUAUAUAAUAAUUAUUAUAAUCAUUAUUAUUAUUAUUCCAUUCCAUUCCUCACUGGAAUAAAACUUUCUCCGUGCUAACUUUUGGCAUAAAAACAUAGUUUUUAAUACUCUUGUAUUUUUAACCCAUUAUGCUAUAAAGAUUACUCAGAAUUCAUGUAAUAAAAGGACUUAGGUCUUCUGUAUUCUGUAGGCUUAAUAAUCCAUAUUCAUUCAAUUUUUCUCAAAGAGCAUUGCUCAUAUUUAAUGAUAUAUUUUGAUAUCUACUGUCAAAGAUUGGAAAAUUUCUACAUGUUUCUUAAGUUGUGGAUAUAUACAAAUUAUAUAAAAAGUUUACUUCUAUCAUCUUCUUACUUAAAAUUUACUAGUAUUAUGCUAUUUGCAAUGUUUUAAGGUUUAUUAUAUUGAAGAAAUAAUUAUAAGACACAAUAAAUGGUGCAGAUAAAACAGAAUAACUGUUUAGUGAGUUGGCAUGGGUGAAAAAGAGAUAUCUUGUUUUAAAUUUGUUCAUUACAAGGUUAAAAAAAAAGGACUAAUUAUUUAGGUUGAUGGAGCCUAUUGACUCAAUGCUCACUAGAUGAAAAGAAGCGAUUAUAUACAUAAAGAAUGCGGUUUGGAAUAUCAGAGGCUUUGUAAACAGUGGUUGGUAGAGGAGGAGGAGCAAUAUGACAGGUGAAUAAGACCCUUCCACAAUUGUCUCCAGAUAGGCACAUCAAGGUAAGCGAUCUUAACAAGAGCAAAUAAAACCAGGUGAGAGACAACAGUGGAUGCUUCCAGUAAAACAAAAAGACUCAUUAUAGAAAGGGAAAGGAAAGAUUCCUCAAGUCACCCCUCCCCAACUCAAAGCAGUACAGAAUGGAGAGAGAUGCCUGUAAAUUGGGAGAGAGUUAUGGAGUAAAGUUCAGGUCUUAUACUUGAAAUCCAGUGCCAGGCUCAUAUGGGAGAAACUUGAUACUGAGCAGAGCCCUCCACUUCUACCAGGAGGCUAAUACUGAUGAAUUUAGCAUUGUGUCUGCUUUAGUCAGCUGACAAAAAGACUGCUCUUACUAGUUCUUUUUCAAACUUGUGCUGCAGAGAAGGACCCAGAAAUCUACCUGCUUGAAAACAGAACAUGAAAACUAGUAGACAGUAAUCACUCUCAGUGCCAGGUCUAUUUUGAUGAGACUUAGAACAGGGUAGAAACCUGGAGAGAGAGAGAGAGAGAGAGAGAGAGAGAGAUAUGCUCCCCUCUCUAUGGACAAAAUAUAUACAAGGAAGGCAAACCCCAAUGACCCUCCUCCUCUAGACAUACCGUAACUGCCUUCAGUCACUACCCAGUUAAUUCCUACUAUCAGGAGAUUAAUGCACUUAUUAAGUUAACACUUUCAUAAUGCAAACAUUUCACCUCCAAAUCUUCUGCCUUGUCUCACAUUUUGGUGUCAUAUCUGAACCAUUACCAACAGAAUGCCUGGGAAAAAAUAUGUUGCUUAUAAGAAAAUCACUUCACCUCUAGGGAUACACAUUAACUGAAACUGAAUUAUAAAUAAGAUAUUCCCUUUGAAUUGAAUCCAAUAGAAAGCAGGAGUAACCAUAAUUAUAUCAAACAUAAUAGACUUUGAAUCAAAAGAAGUAAAAAAAGACAGGGGAAGAUUAUUAUAAAGGGGUCAGAUCAGGAAGAGAAAUAUAUAUUCACCAAAUAUAUAUGCACCCAAUAUUGGAGCACAAAAAAAAUAUAUAGAAAAUAUUAAUAUGCCUAAAGGGAGUUAUAAACUCCAAUACAAUAUUACUUGGGGACUUUAAAAUUGUGUUUUCAACAAUGGAGAGGUCAUUCAGAGAGAAAACAGCAAAUAAACAGUAGAGUUAAACUGCAUUGUAGAUAGAAUGUUUAUUAAAAUGAAUCUAAUAGACAUUUAUAGAAUUUUCCAUCCCACAAUUACAAACUACAGAAUACACAUUCCUUUCAUCAGAACAGGGAACCUCCUCUAGGAUAAAUCAUAUAAUAAACUACAAAAAGUCUCAAUAAUUAAAAAGAGUUGAAAUCUUAUUAUGCACCUUUUUUUCAUCACAAUGCAGCAAAAUCAGAAAUCGAAAAAUUUCAAAAACUACAUAAAUAUAUGGAAAUUAUGCAAACCUCUUUUCAACAACCAAUGAAAUAAAAAGGAAAUCAAGAAAGAUAUUUAAAAAUUUCUUCAAGCAAAUGAAAAUAGAGAUACAACAUAUAAAAUCUUAUAUGUUAUACUAAGAGGCAAGUUUAUAGAAAUCAAUGCUUAUAUUUCAAAGUAGAAAGAUCACAAAUAAAAAACCCAUUUCUGCCUCUCAAGGAACUAGAGAAACAAAACAAAUCAAACUAAAAAUUAAUAUAACAGCAGAAAUAAAUAGUGACUAAAAUACAGUACAAAGGAUGAAUGAAAGAAGUUAUCUACUUCUUUGAAAAGAAAUAGACAAUUAACUAGAUUAACGAAGAAAAAAGAUAGAAGACUCAAAUAUACUCAGAGUUGAAAAGGAGAGGUUAUGCCUGACACCACAAAAGUAUAAGGCUCAUUAAAUAAUAUCAGGCACAACCCAUAUGCCAACAAAUUUGAUAACCAAAAGAAAAGUAAUGGAAAAAUUCUUGGAGAUGUGUGCCUUACCAAGAUUAAAUAAUGAGCAGAAAAUAUGAAUAUACAAUAACAGGUAAUGAGGUUGAAUCAGUAAUAAAAAUUCUCUCAUCAAAGAAAAGCAAAUGGCCAGAUGUCUUCAAUACUGAUGUAUUUAAGUCAAUCACUUAAACAAGAACUAAAACAAAUUUUUCUUUACUUCAAAAUUAAAAGGAGGAGGAGGAUCCCAAACACACUCUACAUAACCAAAUGUUACCCUGAUAUCAAAACCACAUAAGGAUACUAGAAGAAAAGAGAACUACAGGCCAAUACCCUAGAUGCAAAAAUCCUCCUCAAAAAAUAUUAGCAAACUAGGGGCUGGAGUUGUGGCUCAGUGGAUUUUGAGACAUUGGGUUCGAUCCUCAGCACCACAUUACAAAAAUUAAUUAAUUAAUUAAGGAUAUUGUGUCCAUCUACAACUUAAAAAAAUUACUAGUGAACUAAAACAAAUGGCACAUUUAAAAGAUUAUUCAUCAUGAUAAAAUGGUAGUUAUUCCAGGGAUACUGGGAUGGUUCACCACAUGCAAAUUAAUAAACAUAAUAUAUCACAUCAAGAGAAUAAAGAACUAACCUUGAUUGGUCAUCUCAAUAGAUAUAGAAAAGACACUUGAUAAAAUUCAGCAUCCCUUCAUGAUAAAAACACUGAAUAAAUUGAGUUCAGAAGGAACAUGCCUUACUUAUAAUAUAUCCACAGCUAACAUUAUAUCGAAUGGGGGAAAACAUGAAAGCUUUCUAAGACCAGGGACAGGAAAAGAGAAGUUCAUUUUUAUCCUUCUAUUCAACAUACAUUUGGAGGUCUUAGCUAGAGAAGUCAGACAAGAGAAAGAAGCAAAGGGCAUCUGAAUUGGAUAAGAAGAAAUCAAAUUGUCACUGUUGGCAGAUGACUUAAUUCUAUAUAAAAAAAAAAAACUUUGAAGACUCCACCAAAACACAAUUAGAACUUUUAAAUGAAUUCAGCAAAUUUGUAGGAUAUAAGAUAAACAUGUAAAAAUCAGUAACAUUAAUGUAUGCCUAUAGUGAAUUAUCUGAAAAAAAUCUUUAAUUUGUAAAAAAUAUAAAAUAAAAUAAAACUUCAAAAACAUAAAAUACCGAGGAAUAAAAUCUCAAAGACACACACAAAAAAAUCUUUAGAAUAAAAACUAUGAAACACUAACAAAUAAAUUGAAGAGGACACACACACACACAAAAUGAAGACAUCUAGUGUUUAUGGAUUGGAAGAAUCUAUAUUGCUAAAAUGUCCACAGUACCCAAAGUUAUGUACAAAUUCAAAAUAUUCAUGAAAUAUGAAUGAAAUUUUUCACAGAACUAGAAAAAAACUUAAAAUUUGCAUGAUGCACACAUAUAAACCCCUCAAAUAGUCAAAAUUAACUUGAGCAAAAAGAACACAGCAGAAGAUAUUGUACUACCUUCAAAAUACAUCACAAUGCGGUAGUCAUCAAAUCAGCAUGGCAUUGGCAUAAAUAGAGGCACAUAGACCAAUGAAAGAGAAUAGAAAGACUUGAAGUAGAAAACAUGCAUUUGAAAAAGGGCAGACUUUUCAACAAAUAAUGAUGGGAAAAUUGGAAUCCAAAUGCAGGAGAAUGAAAUGAGUUCACUAGCAUACAUUGGUUACAAAUAUCAACAAAAUAGAUUAAAGACUAAAAUGUAAAACUUGAAAGUAUGAAAUGACUACAAGGAAAUGAAAGAGAAGGUUUCAAGGCAUUGAAGCAGGAAAGAAUUUUUUGAACAAGAUUCAAAAAGCACAGGAAAUAAAAGCAAUGAUAAAAAAUGGAAUUACAGCAAGCUAAAGUGCUUCUGCACAGCAAAUGAAACAAUCAUCAGAGUGACAGACAGCCUAAAUAAUUGGAGAAAAUAUUUGAAAACUAUGCAUUUGGCAAGGGUUUAAUACCCAUAAUGUAUAAGGAACUCUAAAAACACAAUAGCAAAAGAUGAAAUAAUCUAGUAAAAUUGUUGGACAUAUAUAUAUGGGUAGGUAUUUCUCAAAAGAUGAAACAAAUGGCCAACACUUAAAAAAGAAGCUAAGCAUCACUAUUCAUGAAAAAAUGCAAAUCAAAUCUACAAUGAAAUAUAAUCUCAUUAUAGUAGAAUAUCUAUUAUAAAUAUGAAAGAUUAAAAAUGCUAGUUAGGAAGUAAAGAAAAGACAACUCUUGCAUAGUACUGCUGGGAAUAUAAAUAAGUAUAAUCAUCAUGGAAAACAGUAUGGAAGAUCCUACAAAAAUUUUAAAAAAGAACUAUAAUAUGACCCAGCUUUCCAACUACUUGUUAUAUGUCCAAUGGAAAUGAAAUCAAUAUGAGAGACAGCUACACAGCUAUGUCUACUGCAGCAGUAUCCACAACCACUGAGAAAUGGAAACAACCUAUGUUCAUUAAGUGAUAAAUGAACAAAGCAAAUGUGGUAUAUAUACACCAGACAAUACUAUUCGUCUAUAAAAGCAAAUGAAUUUCUGUUAUUUGUGGCAACAGGAAUUGAACUGGAAAUCAUUAUAUUAAGUGAAAUAAGUGAGACCCAGAAAAACAAGUAUCACAUGAUCUCACUCAUAUGUAGAAUCUAAAAAACUUUAGUCUUACAGAAGUUGAGGGUAGAAUUGUGAUUGACAGAUUCUGUAGGGAGAAGGGGAGGUAGGAAUGGGGAAAUUUUAAUCUAAGGGAUCUAAAUUGAAGUUAAAUAGGAGUAUGGAUUUUUAGUGUGCUUUUGUAAAGUAUGGUCAUUAUCACUAUAGCUAAUGAUUGUAUACUUUAUAUUUCAAUGAGGUAGAAGAAAGAAUUUAAAUUUUUUUUCACCAAAAAGAAGUGAUAAAUAUUUGAAUAGUUAGAUAUGUUUAAUCUGAUUAUACAUGCACACACAUUAUCAAAAUAUCACAUCAUACCCAUUAUUAUAAUAAUGAAUAAUUUUAUGAUAUUUAUGUUAAUAAAAUAAAUUUAAAUUAGCAAUAAGAAAAUAGGUAAUUUCAUACCCCUUAAUUACCUUGGAUUUGCUUAUUUUAGAGAUGACAUUUAUAUAAGGUAUAAUUUUUUUAUAUUGAGUCCCUUUUACUUCUGGAAGCCAUCUUGUGCCAUCAAGAGGAGGUAGUCUUUGGACUAAGAUAAUUUGUGUGGGGAAAAUACCAUAAAUAAAUUAUCCUCAAGGACCUACUUAUCCAGAGAAAUAAUUAUUCAUAUAAUAAUUGACUUCAGUAUCCCGGCUAGCUCAUAGAAAGUUGAAGAAUUUUUCAGUAAUAAGCAAAAGCUGGUUACUGCAUCAAGUUAUAUUUUUCUUGAAUCUAAGAGAGCUGAGGUCAGAGAAUAAGCCAUCUUGAAAUUUAAGAAAAGAGUUAAUAACUACCUAUACUCGUUAGUAAACAAUUGUGUAGUGUUGUUUUCCUUUUUGUUUUGAUUUCUUUUUUAAUUUUUAAUGAUGCUGUUUAGACACUUACCAUGGAUCAGUUGUAUGGAUAAGGAGAAUUUUGGGACCCUGACCUGCACACACUGGUGUUACACAACUGAGCGAUACUUUACAUGGCAAAUGGGAUUUUGCAGAUGUAAUUAAGUUCACUAGUUAGUUUAUUUUUAAAAUGGAUUGAUCUGAAUUAUUCAGAUGGGACAGUGUAAUUGCAUGAGCUCUUUGCUUCACAGCUUUCUUUCAGCUAAGGGAAGAAGAAUUCACAGAGAGUUAAAACACGAUAAGGACUGAGACGCUUUGCUCUUUGAAAAUGUACAAGGUCACAUAAAAAGGUGGAUGAACAGAAUUCUGCCAACAUCUGAGUGAGGUUGGAAGAAUUUUGUGGAGUCCUAUAGGCAAUGCUGUCCUACUGACACCUUGAUUUCAGCCUUGUGAGACUCUGAUCAGAGAAAUCAUUUGAGAGGCACUGUGAAUGGAAUUUUGCACUAUGAAAAGUUAUGAGAUAAUAAAUGAGUAUUGGUUAAAGACAUCUGAUCUGAGGUAAUUUGUUAUAGUAGCCAUAGAAAACCAAUAAUCAAGACAAAAAUAUUUUCACACAAGAACUUCUACAGAAAUGUUUAUGUCAGCUUUAGUUAAAGCUACUCAAACUAUGAGUUGUCUACAUAUACUUCAACUGACAAAUGAAUAAAAAAGCAAUGUCUCUCUUAAAUAACAGUAACACAAUGUGAUACCUAUCUUCAAUAUUACAAAUAUCUUUAAUCUGAAAAUAUUUGGUUCUGUGUUGUAGAUACAAUGGUAUAUAAUAAAAAACAGUAUAAUUAAAAUACAAGAUUAUCUAAUAUUAUCUCAUCCUCAUAUAAAAAUGUAUGUUUGGAUUUUGUUUCUACUUCCAAAAUUCAUACAUUUUAUAGCUGAUAUAUUAUAUUUUUUCUAGAUCACUGAUUUGAUUAUAAGAUGAUUUGUUCUAGUAUUUCUCAGAACUUGUGCUGAAUAAUCUAUGAUUAACAGUGGUAUUCUUUAUCACUUUUUAAAACUUUAGAAGAACUAGAUUAUGUUUAUAGCAUCACAAAUAAUUUUUCUUAUUUAAUAUUUUCAAAACCUUUUACAAUUUCUCAAAACAAUGACUCUCUUAAAAAUAUUUCACAAAGUCCAACAUCCUUUAUUGAUAAGAACUUCCUGAUAAAUUAGACAUAGAGGGAAACCUCAAUAUAAUAAAGAAUAUUGCUAUAGACUGAGUUUUUAUGUUGAAAUCUCAACCCCCAAUAUGAUUACUCCUACAAACACUAUUCUACACUUGUGAUAAUGACAUGAACUCAGUCAUGAAUGCAGAGCUCUUAUAACCUAAUCGUCUCAAGUUCUAUCUCUGAACAGUUUUGCAUAGGGGAUUAAGUUUCCAAUAAAAGAACUUUGGUGAUAUAUUCAAACUGUACUAAACCACAAAUACUAAAAAUUACUUGGAAAAAGAACAAAGUUGGAAGACUCAGAGUUUUUUUUUUUUUAUUUAAGACUUACUUCUAAAUUACAUAAAUCAAGCAAUGAUGGAUGGACAUAUAGACCAGUGGAACAGAAUUGAGAGUUUAGAAACAAGCCUAUAUUUCUAUGGUACAUUUAUAUUCAACAAUGGUUCCAAGGGAAUAGUCUCUUCAACUAAUGUGUUGCAUAACAGGAUUUCCAAAUGCAAAAGAAAGAAGGAGGGCCUCUACCUUAGAGCAUAGAAAAAAAUUACCCCCAAAUGGACCAAAAUUAUAAAUAUAAGAGGGAAAAUUGGAAAACCUUUCAAACAAAAAAUGGGAAUAAAAUUUUAUAACUUUGGAUUUGGCAAUGUUUAUUAUGUAAGGUACUGAAAGCAUGAGUUAAAAAAAAACUAGAAAAUUAGAUUUCAACAAAAUUUUUAAGAAAACUUUUAUUCAUCAAAAUACAUUUUUAAGUACACAAAAUGAAAACCUUCAGAAUGGAAGAAAAUAUUUUCAAGUCACAUAUCUGAUAAGAGUUUAGUAUGUCUGAUUAUGUAGAGAACCUUGAAAUACAACAAAAAAAACUACCCAUUUAAAAAUGAGUAAAGGAACAGUCAAGAAUGUGAAGAGAAAGCCUACAAAAUGGGAGAAAAUCUUUGCCACCUGCACCUCAGAUAGAGCAUUAAUUCCCAGGAUAUAUAAAGAACUUAAAAAAAAAAAAAAAAAAAAACUUAACACCAGAAAAACAAAGAACCCAGUCAAUAAAUGGGCAAAGGAAUGGAACAGACAGGAAGAAGAAAUAUAAUUGGUCAACAAAUAUAUGAAAGAAUUAGAGAAAUGCAAAUUAAAACCACACUAAGAUUUCAUCUCACUCCAGUAGAAUGGCAAUUAUCAAGAUUACAAAUAACAAUAAAUGUAAGUGAGGACGCAGGGUAAAAGGUACAUUGCUUAUGGAGCUGCAAAUAUGUGCAACCACUCUGAAAAACAGUAUGGAGAUUCCUCAGAAAGUUUGGAAUGGAACCACCAUUAGACUCAAUUAUCCCACUCUUUGGUUUAUACCCGAAGGACUUAAAAUCAACAUAUUAUGGUGAUGUAGCCACAUCAAAGUUUAUAGCAGCUCAAUUCACAAUAUCUAAACUAUGAAACCAACCUAAGUGCCCUUCAGCAAAUGAAUGGAUAAAUAAAAUGUGGUGUAUAUACAGAAGGGAAUAUUGCUCAGCCAUAAAAAUGAAUAAAAUUAUGGCAUUUGUUGGUAAAUGGAUGGAACUGGAGAAUAUCAUGUUAAGUGAAAUAAGCCAAUUCCCCCAACCCCGCCCCGAUAAAAAGGCCAAAUGUUUUCUCUGCUAUGUGGAAACUAACUUACAAUAAGAUGUCAGGGGCAGGUAAGGAAGAACAGAAUUAUUCUGAAUUAGACAAAGGGGAAAGAAAGGAAGGGAGGGGGAAUGGAAACAGGAAAGAUAGUAGAAUUAAAUAUUACUCUCCUGUGUGCAUAUGUGAUUACAUAACCAAUGUAAUUCUAGGUCAUGUACAAUCAGAAAAAUGAGAAGUUAUACUCCAUAUGUAUAAUAUGUCAAAAUACAUUCUGCUAUCCUGUAUAAAUAAUAAGGACAAAUAAGAAAAUUUAAAAAAUAAGACUGGUACACUCCUUAAGUGUAUUUUAUUAGUUAUAUAGUCUUUCCUUAGGUUUGUCAACCAAAUAUACACAUUAGUUGGGUGUUUAUAAAAAGACAUUAAUAUCAGUGAUGAUAUUGACAAUGGUAAACAACAAAUGAUACAUUCAAAUAUAUAAAUUCUGCAUGCCUGUAAAGCAGUAGCUGAGUCCUACCUUCUUAUGUUAUCUUGUGGAAAGCCCACAGAUUGCUUUCUUCUUUGUGGGUGGAGAGUAACAAGAGAAGGAAGUUUCAGGUAACAAGUUUAAUCAAUUGUUUAGCAUAGCUAGCAAAAAACUAUGUAUGAAAUUUUGAUUCUUUCUUUUGCUAAUAGCUAAUCACUGAAUACAUAGAGUACAGUAUAACUGCAUAAUGUUUUCUUCUUACAUACAUGGUUCUUAUAACAUCGGUUUCUUUCUUUAAAUUGUUUGUAUUUUUUUCCACUUGAAUAAAAUAGUAAUCUUUGGAAUCUUUUUUAGUGACUUAAUCUGUUUUUCUUCUUCUACUAUUUGCUUCUUUGUAGUGAUUGAUCAUUAAUCAACUUUUUCCUCAGUGGUAAGAUUAUAAUCAGGAAGAUGACACUGGGCAUUGCAGCAAGUUCAAAGCCAGCCUCAACAAAAGCAAGGCACUAAGCAACUCAGUGAGACCCUGUCUCUAAAUAAAAUACAAAAUAGCGCUGGGGAUGUGGCUCAGUGGUCAUGUGCCCCUGAGAUUAAUCCCUGGUACCCCCCUCCCUCCAAAAAGGAAAAUGAUCAACUCUAUUUAUUUUUCUGUUUAUAUAAAAUUAUUAAUGUCAUAACAUACUAUGAGGAUCUUAAAUAUUAUUUCAUGCUGAUAUAUAAUAUUUAUAUAUAUUGAAUGAAUACCUGAAACAAUUUAAGAAUCUAGGCAGAAUCUGCUUCUAACACCAAGUUUCUCUGGUAAACUGACUAAAUAAAAAAAAUAUCUACUUUCUCUAUAUGGUUUAAAGGUGUCAAUUACAGCUUUUACCACAUUUUCAUUUCCUACUAAUUUCCCCUAUUAAAUCUAAUAUUUUCUAUUGAAUUUCCUUUGAUUAUUCAUCAUAGAUGCCUAUUUAUUUUCAUGACAUACAAAGUGGUAACAUCACACUUCUUUUUAAUGUUUGUAUCUUCUAAUUUAUUCAGGUUUAAACCUUAUAUUUUAUAAAGACAAUUGCAUGAGACUCUGGUUAUUAUUUAGUCAUCCUGAAAAUUAAAAAAAGCUAUUUAAGGUUUCUGUUACCGUGUAUUUGGAAAGUCAAUCUCGAAUUAUUUUGCAAGGAGACUUGGAUAUAGAAGACAUUUCAUGCCAAGGAAAAGAGGAAGAAGCUUUGAGUAUACUCCCUGGUACUUGAAUUUCUAGGAAAAUUAUUUCUGUUUCAGUUCUGGGAUUUCAGAUGUCUGCUUUGAGUAGUCAUCAGUAGACUUUAGAUAUACCUGUCAUAGACUAAAUGCGAUUCACAAUGCCCUACUCCUUCCCUACCAGCAACUCCUCUGAUUCUCUCCUGACCUACUGCUUUCAGCAUGUCAGUUUCUCUUGGAGAUUGUUAUAUUGGAUUUCAUUUCUACUUCAUAACAAGUAUAUUGAAGGAAUUGUUGCGAUUUCCUUGAGUAUAGUUAACUUAAACACAUGUUUAACUUGUGUACAACAGCCAUGUUUUAAUUCUACAGAAUGAAUAUUGUUUGAUAAACUAAGAAAACAUUAAGGGAAUCACUUCAAAGGCUGUCUAAUCCUGCACUUAUGCCCUAUAUGGAAAUUAAACUGUUAUUAGCACUUUUUAAAUGUCAGAGUAUAUUUAUAUUUCUGUUGUUGUGAUUUCAAGUGAUAUUGUGUUCAAGAAAAAAUAUCACAUUAAUAUUCCAAGGGUUGUAAUAUUUCUUUGCACUGAAUCAUCAUACCCUACCUAGGCUAGUGAUAAUGAUAGUGUAGGCAUUGCUACUUAUUUUUAUUUUAAUUUUGAUCACAACAUUCAUAAUCAUAUUUAGAAAUGAAAAAUUUUUAGAAAAUACCAAUAGUUUUUCCUUUAUUUUUGAAAAAAAUACACAUAACUCAUAAUGAAAGUUAUUAGUAGAGGGCUGGUGAUGUAGUUCAAUGAUAGAGCAUUUGCCACACAUGUGUAUCUCUUGGUUUCAUCUCUGGCACUGGGAAAAGGAAUUGUAAAUAGAAAUUCACCAUGGAUCUGUGAAUCUAGAGAUAAUUAUUUAAAAAUUUAUACAUAUAUAAAAUAUAUGUACAUAGAAUAAAACGUAAUUUUAACCAUAUAUUACUGAAAUGGAUGUAAGGUGAAAUAUACUCAAUUUAGAUUCAGAGAGUGAAUACAACUAUGCAAAUAAAUCCAAAUAAAUAAACUCUUGAUAAUGAGGAAAUGCAUUAUUUCAGAGUGUUUGAAAGAAUGGGAGAGUCAACAAUACAAAAUAUAUCCUCUUUUUCUAUUAUUAAAGAUUAUAUUUACUUAUUAUUGUCACCAAAAUUUCUCCAAGCAUUUGACAGGAAAUGAUUAAUUGCUAAAUUUCUCUUAUGUUGUAUUGAUCAAUUUUAUCAGUUUUAGGGAAAAACUAAACAUUCUGGUAUAGUCUAAGACCAAAAAUCAAAGAAGACAUUUUUGACAGGAUCUUGGAUAGAGGUCACUGGGUCUUAUUCUUGCAAGAGUAAUCAGGGUUUUAAAAUGUAUUUGUGAAAAGACUGCUGAAGUUUCCAAUUAAAAAUAGCCACAACAACAAAAUGUAGCUGGCAUGAGAUGUUCUCUCUCAUCCCCAUUUCUGGUCUCUCUAUUAUAUUUUAUUUGCUUGGUUUGGUUGUUUUAGUGCUUCAGAUGGACUAGUCAGUAUGGAAGUUGGAAGCACAGGAAAUAAGUAAAAAAAAUACUUUCAAAAAUAAUAAGAAUUAAAAGGAAGGUUGAUUUAGUGGGUGAGAAUAAAAUUUACCAACUUGUGUAUUGUUUAAUUUACUUAACUGGUUAAUUACUUUGUCAGGAUAGCAUGACCAGAGGCAAGAUUGUCUGAGUUUGAAUUCUUGCUCCUAGCUUUGUCAAUUUUCACAAAUCACUUAGUUUCUGAAAAACUUAAGAUGAUAGUUCUUAUUUGGAACUAUAAGAGUUAUUUUUAUAAUAUAUUUUAAUUACUCAGAAAUAUAUUACUAUGCUGAGUAUAAUAUACAUCCAGUAAACAUCAUACUAUUAUUAUUAUGUAAAGUUUACUGGGAAAAUUCAUGGGCUAGGAUGAACAGUAACAUGCCUUAUUACCCAUUUAAUAUGGAACUUUCAAAUAACCACAGUAAAUAAUACACAGAAGAAGAAAUUGGUGGUUUCUUAUUAAGAAGUAUAAUUAUAUACCUGCAUUUUUCUCUAAUAUCAGGAUUAAGUCAAGGAUAAUAAGACUCUCACCACAUCUACUCAAUACAGUUCUUGAAACUCUAGCCAGAGCAAUCUGGCAAGAGAAGAAAAUUAAAGGAACACAAAAAAGAAGUCAAAACAUCUUGGUUUGCUGAAGACAUGAUCCUAUAACUAGAUGAACCCCCCCCCCCCCCCCCCAAAAAAAAAACUCCACCAGAAGACUUCUAGUGCUGAUAAAUACAUUUACUAAAGUAGCAGGAUAGAAGGUCAACAUACACAGAUGAAUAACUUUUCCUAUACUCCAAUAAUGAAUCUGCUACAAAAGAAAUUAGAAAAAUUCACAAUAGCCUCAAAAAAUAUUUGGGAAUCAAUCUAAUGAAGGAAAUGGAAGACCACUAUAAUGAAGACUAUAGAACCCUGAAAAAAGAAAUUGAAGAUGUUUAUAGUAUUAAAAGACAACCCAUGUUCUUGGAUCAGUAGAAUUAAUAUUGUCAAAAUAGCCAUAUUGCCAAAAGUGUUAUUCAGAUUCAGCGCAACCCUCAUUAAAAUACAAAUGACAUUUUUCACAGAACCAGAAAAAAAGAGUUCUAAAGUUUUUUAGGAAGAAUAGGAGACUCAGAAUAGUCAAAGUAUUCUUGAGCAAAAAGAGCUAUGCUGUAGGUAUCACAAUACUGGAAUUCAAACCUUACUGCAAAGCUACAGUAAUAAAAACAGCAGGUUAAUGGUACCAAAACAGACAUGAGGACCAGUGGAAGACAACAGAAGAUCAAGAGACAAACCCACACAGAUAAAGUCAUCUGAUACUUGACAAAGUUGCCAAACAUGCUGGAGAAAGAAUAACCUUUUAAUUAACUGACUUUGGUAAACUGGAUAUCCAUAUGUAGAAGAAUGAAACUAGACCCUUAUCUAUCACCCUGCACAAAAGUCAAAUCAAAGUUAAUCAAAUGGUGAGGACUUAGAGCAGAAUCUUCAACUUCUGGAAGAAAACAGGGUUAUCACUCCACUCAUUAUACUGGUUCAGGCAUUAACUUCAUCAAUAAGACCCCUAAAUCUCACAAAAUAAAACCAAAAAUCAGUAAGUGAAUGAAAUCAAAUUAAAAAGCUUCUGUACCUUUUCACAAGAUGAUACUGAAAACUAAGAAGGAAGUUCUUUCUUCUCCCAAAGCUGCAACAAAGAAAAAGCUUUGAAGGCCAAAAGGCAGUGUUAAAGGACAUCCACAGACAUAGAAAGAAGAUCCGAACAUCACUUAACUUCCAUUGGUCCAAGAUAUUGCUGUGCCAGAGGCAGCCCGGUAUCCUCAGAAGAGCAUCCCUAGGAGAAACAAGCUUGACCAGUAUGCCAUAAUCAAGUUCCCUGACCAUUGAAUCAGCCAGGAAGAAUAUUGAAGACAACACACUUGUGUUCAUUGUAGAUGUCAAGGCCACAAACAUCAGAUCAAACAAACUAUAAAUAAGCUCUAUGACAUUAAUGUGGCAAAGGUUAACACCCUGAUCAGGCCUGAUGGAGAGAAGGCAUAUGUUCUACUGGCUCCUGAUUGUGAUGCUUUUGAUGUUGCCAACAAAAUUGGGAUUAUCUCAGAGUCCAGCUGUCUAAUUCUAAAUAUAACUUUUUUUUUCAAUUAAAAAAAAAGCUUCUGCAUAGAAAAUGAAACAAGAGCAGAAAAUCUUUGCAAAGUUUUCUGACAGUGUGUAAAUAUACAGAAUACAUAAAUAACUCAACAAUCUUAACACCAAAAAAUAAAUAAUCCAAUAAAAAAAUAUGCAAAAUAAACAUUUAAAUAAUUGAAAAUUAAAACUAUCACAAAGAUAACUAAACUAGACAUUUCUCAAAAGAAGACACACAAAUGCUCAACAAAUAUGUAAAAAAAUGUUCAACAUCUCAGGCAAUCAGCAAAAUGCAUAUCAUCUCCCUCUGGUCAAAAUGCCAGUUAUUAAGAAUACAAUUAAUAACAAGUGUUUACAAGAUGUGAGGAAAAGGUACACUGAUAUAUUGUUGGCCACACUGCACAUUAGUACAACCACUCUGGAAAUCAGGGUGGAAAUUCCUUAAUAAACUAGAAAUGGAACUAUAUGACCCAACUAUCCCACAGAAGUAAAAUUCCAAAAUACUAAAAUCAGGAUAAUAUAUAGAUACAGCCACGUCAAUGUUUAUAGCAGCACAGUUGAUAAUAGCUAAAUUUUAGAACCAGCAUAGUUGCCUGUCAAUAGAUUAAUGGAUUAAGAAAAUAUGGUACAUAUACACAACAGAGUUUUACUCAACCAUAAAGAAGGAAAUUAUGGCAUUUGCUGUUAAAUGGAUGAAACUGGAGAACAUCAUGUUAACUUGAAUAAGACAGACCCAUAAAAAUCAAGAGUUAGAUGAUUUCUCUCAUAUGUGGAAGCUAGAACAAAAUAAGGGGUAGGGGUAAACAUCAUAAAGCUAUAGGGAAGGUCAGUGGGAUAGAAGGAGAUAUCAAGAGGGAGAGUGGAGAGACAGGAAAGGGGAGGAAGAGGAAUGGUGAAAUGACUUUAAUAAAAUAUGCAUAUAUAAAUAAGCCACAUGGAAUUCCACAUCUAUGUAUAUGUAGAGAACACCAAUCAAAAAUAAAUAAAUAAAUAGAUGAGUGAAAGAAAGAACAGUAGAGUGGAAGAAAAAUAAUAGGGAGAGGAAGGAAAUACAGGAUAGGGAGGGACAUUGGAAAUGAAAUGAAGUAAAUCAAAUUCCAUGCGUACAUAAUUUUGUCAAAAUGAACCCAACUUUUAUGGAGCUUCUCCAAAGAGGAACUCUAAUGCUUAAUUCCCAGCACCUGCAACAGAAUCUUAGCACAGAAUACUCAAUAAAUAACUUUGUUAAAUGAAUCUGCAUGAUGUGGUACAUGACCCUCCAUGGACUUGAAAGCAUUUUGUAAAUAUUAGGGAAUAAGUGAUCUCCCAUUGUCACCUUUAAUGGUGUUUUAUACCCAUUCUUGAAAACAAUAAGAAAAGAAGCAGAGAUAGUUUAGAAGGAGCAAUUUCAUCAAAAAGUGGAAGGAAAAAAGGGAAAUUCUCUGUAAGGAACAACAGAAUACAGGUUAAGUUACUACAAAAUAACUAAGAGGUUUCCUAACAGCACAAACAGAUCAUAGAAAGUUGACCAAAAUAAUUCCUGGUUCAAAAGAAAUGUGCUCAUUAACAGAAAAGUUUCAUAAAUAUCCAAACUUUUAUAAAGAUGAGGAAAACAAACUUAAAAGACUUAAUGUUGGCAUGAUUAAAGCUGUAUUAAUUCAAGUACAGCAUUAUGGUAUGCAUGUAUCCAGCAGCUGAUUUACAUCUGGAUAUCUAUAUUUAGCACAAAAUUGGCUCAAAUGAACAUAAUGAUUAUCCCACUAUGUACCAGGAACUAUGGUUCACACACACACACACACACACACACACACACAUCUGGGGAGAUAUGUGUAUAUGUGUGUGUGUGUGUGUUUAUGACCAGUAUCAGUUUCUCUACUCUUGAGAAAUUAAAAAUUUAGCAGAAAAGAGAGAUGCAUAAUUGAAAUAAACUGAAAAAAAUGCUGUUUAAUGAGUGCUGUACUAUCAGUUUAAAGAUUCUGAAGGUCAAUAGUGCUUUGAAAUAAUAGAAUAGCUAAUUGGACUAGAUCCAGAAUUUCUUGAACUAGACACUCACAUUUUGUAUUCAGAAAGAAAUAUCACUGAAAAAUAAUCACCUGAUGAAAGUUAGACAAUAUGUCUUAGUUAAUGUUUCAGCCUUCAUCCAUAUAAUGAUCAACACUCUUGGCAAAGUGUUCCUAAUGGAAGCAUGCUUUUCAGUGAAUAGAUACAUGAAGAAGGCAGGAAACAAAGGGUCAUUUUGUGAAGGACUGGUGUCCUUCUAAUGUAGAAUGAAAUGGACCUUGUCUUUGGAAAAAUGGAUAUGUAAUAAUCAUCCUAUAACUCUUUGAAAAGUAGUGCUAUUAACAUCCAAUAUCUCUUCAAAUUGAAUGACAUGGGUACAAAGUUGGGAAAUCAACUUUGCUCACAAGAAAUUACCUGAAAUUCUUGACCUUAGGGACAUAAAUUAUCUUCCUCAGUUUAUUCCUGGAGACAGGGCAUCAUAAAAGAAAUCUCACAGGGCCAAUCACAGAAGUAAUAAACAAAAGCCCAAAUUUUAUGGGAUCUCUGCUUUUAAUUUGUCUUCAACAAAGGUGAUUAAUUUGAAAUAUUAUCAAAUGCAUCUUAAUAUCUAGAAGUUUGCAAUACUUUUCUUAAACCUGUAAUCGUUACUAUUGAAACAAUUAUUGUUAGAACCUCCUUUAAGCUCAAUUAAUAGACAUUUUUUUAGAGAAGUUUUAAGUUCACAGCAAAUAUAAUAGAGGGAACACAGAUAUACCAUAUAGUCCUCAUUCCCUUUCAUGAAUACUCUCACCCACUUCCAAUAUCUCCAAAAGAGAGAUAGGUUUAUUGCAAUUGAUGAAAUUACUGACAUGUCAAUAUCACUUAGAUUUCACAGUUUAUGUUAGGAUGCUACAUUUUCAAUGAGUUUAGACAAGCAUAUAAUGAUCUGGAUCCACCAUUACAUUAUCAUACAGAGUAGUUCACCGCCUUAAUAAUUAUUCAUGUUUCAUUUUUUUUCUUCCCUUCCUUUCCUCAUUUCCUAGCCAUUGCUGAUUUUUUUGUUUUCAUAAUUUUGCCUUUUCUAGGAUGUCAUAUAGUUAGAAUCAUCUAGUCUGUAGCUUUUCUGUAAAAUUCUCUGAAGUUUCCUCUAUUUGUUUUCAUGACUUGGUAGCUCAUUUCUUUUUAGCACUGGAUAAUAUUCUAUUAUCUAGAUGUACACAGAUAAUUUAUCGACCCAUAUACAGAAAGGUAUUUUGAUUGCUUCCAAAAUUUGGCAAUUAUGAAUAAGGCUACUAUAAACGUCUAUGUGCAGGUUUUUGUAUGAGAUUUUGUAUGCAGUUUUAAAUUCAUUUAGUAAAUAAAUGCUUGCUAUGCUAAGAGUAUGUUUAGUUUUAUAAGAAACUAACAGUCCUCCAAAAUACAUUUUGCAUUCUCACCAGCAAUGAGUAAGAGAUCCUACUGCCCUACCUCCUGUCAGCAUUUUGUGUUGCCAGUGCUAUGGAUUUAGCCAUCCUAAUGGAUAUGUGGUGGCAACUAAUUAUUGUUUGCACCCUGAAGGCUUUUAGUCUCUAUUUCAUGUCAUUUUAACUAGCUUAAUAAAUGAAAAAAGUAUUUUUUUACCUUUCUGUCAAGUAAUGAAUUAUCGCCAUAAAUCAUUUAUAACUGGAUUAUAUGAGUAAAAUACAAAAAAAUUGUUAUUUUGAAGAAGAAAAGAAGAAUGUUUAGGGGCAUAGCUCAGUGGUACAGUACUCGCCUAGCAUACAUGAGGCCCUGGGUUUGAUCCCCAGCACCAAAAAAGAAGAGGCAGGAGAAGACAAAAAUAAGGUACAGCUGGAGAUCUAAACUUCUAUUCACAGAGCAAAGGCAUGCUUGAACCUCUCUCCUUGCUGUCAGUCUGUAGUUUAGUGCACCAGAACAAGAGGGCCUCUGCACUCUCCUUCCUUUUUCCAGUUGCUGAAACUCACCUAUACAGACUCCUUGAAAGCCUGUAGGACAGUGUUAGAUGCCUGUUAGAUUUGAGUUCAUUCUUAAAGAGUGAUCAUGUAUUUUGUGGUUGGAUAACAGGAUUAUAUUUGGUGUCUCCAUUUCCUGUAAUAGGUGGAACUCAUCAUUGUAAUUUUUUUUUUCUUUUUAAUUCCCUAUGCCUGAGAUUUUGUCUGUUUUUCUUAUGAGUUGUUGUUGUUCCAUUUCAUUAAGAAUCAGAAAUUUUCUCUUUUGAAGGCAUCAUAAUGAAUAUACGAAGUCCACAGGUACUAAAAUACUUCUACUUACCUUUUUUGUAGCAUAUUGUCAUUCAUCAUUUGAAUGUUUCCAAACAUGUGAACAUUUCAGAUUGCUUAGUGAGAAUUUGAAUAGAUAAUCUUUAAUUAGCACCUCUGUACUUGGAAUCAACCUAGAGAAAUUAACUUACAUCUGUUUGCAGUAGUGGUGGGACUAGAAAGUUGAAAAUAAGCUAGAUUUCUGGUAAAUUUACUUCUCUAAAGGGAUAAUUUCUUUAAAAUAAGAAAAAAAAUGUAUUUUAGAAUGAUACCAAUCAUAUUUUAAACAUAAGAAACUAUGAUUGAAAUAUUUAAAAAAGUAUCACGUUUGUACUUCCCAAAUAGUUCUCCAUAGUGCAUGUGAGGGAAUAUUGCUCCUUAGAAAUCCUUGUGGUAAAAAAGGUAAAUAAAGUUAUAUUUAUAUGUACCCUGAGAAAAGGCUUUGUUUUACAAGUACUCUGAAUCUGCAUACACAAUAUAUUUUUUUGCACAUUAUGUUCAUUCAAAUUUAUAUAUUUGUUAUUUCUAAUUUAAAAAUAAAAAAUUCUCAUGACUGAUUCAAGUUAAAUAAUUAUUAUUGAAAAAAUGUUAAAUGUAACCAUACAAGCAUACAUAUAUAAUGUAAAUAGAAAAACCUAUGAAUUACUACUGAAAGUAAUAUUUUUGUCUUAUGUCUGAUAUUUUUAACUUAGUUACAUAUAGGAAACUAUAACACAAUAAAUAAUUUCUAAAUAAAUUCCAUUACUCACAAACCACUACUUGGUAUUGGUCACACAUCCUAGCUAAUUCAAGGUAUUAAACUAAAAAGUUUUAGAUUUUAACUACUGUUACUGGUAUAUUUUUAGGCUUCUAGAAACAUGGUACUGUAGGAAAUGCUUGGUGUUUGAAACCAACUCUAUGUCUCACUGGUAUCAUGAGUUAGCGUGAAUCAUCUAACAUUUUCUCCACCUGGCUUGGCUUAUCAGGGAGCACUGAAAUUUGGAAUUACAUAGAUGUAUAUUCAAACAAAGACUCUGUCAUUAAUACCUGGGUAAUAAUCUCUGUCUGCCUCACAUUUCUUAUUUGUAAUAGAUGUUAAUAAUAAUUAACUUACAGAGGCAUUUCAGAUAUUUAUAUUAUCAUAGUUGGCUCAUAACACAAAUAUAAUAAAAUUUUUAAAUUUUUGCCUCAAAUAUAACUUUAAAAAUUACCAAGUUUAUCUUAAUGACCAUUAUAUCCCUUUUAACUCUCAAGUUUCAUGAUUUUAUCACUUAUCAGUCAAUAAUUACCUUGAAUACCGAACAACUUUAUUAGGUGAGAGAGUAUGCUUGAGUCAGUGCCAGAUGUUCCUGAAAAGGAAAAAAAAAAUAAUUAAAUUCAGUGUUCAUGCUGACUGCCCUAUUGGUAUUUUCAGUAAUGUAUCCAUCUUUCUAUACACAUAAACUUACAAAUAGAUGAUAGAUACAUAGAAACCUAUAUAUAAAUACAAAAAAAAUAUACAUGCACACAUACAAAUAUGCAUAUACACAUUUGUAAAUACAUCCAUGCCGCAGUCUGGCUGGGCACACAAUCACGAGCCACCACACAGCUUGUAGAUUCAAACAGNCUUGGUCCUUGAGCAAGGUCACUUACAUUCAAUGUUACUGCAACAUGUCAGCAACAUGGGGUACGCUGGCAAGGAAAUUGUCAUACCUACUUGGCUAAUGGCUCCCAGCACAUCCAUACCACUCACAUAUAUAAUUGAAGCAUGAGCUAUGAUCAUAAUUUCAGGUCAAUUUUACAUAAAAAAUAUAUCAACAAUGUAUGUGUGAACAAAUUGUUCUAUUACUGAUUAUCUAAAAUAGUAUGUGAAAAUUUCUACCAUGUUUGAAAAGCAAGGUUGUGAAGUGAAUAUUCUCUAAUGAGAACAUCACCAUGUGCAGAACAUCAAGUAGUACAGGAUGCAGCCUGUGAUUUCUUAGCCUAGAGAAGAACAUGGGUGUGGCAACUCUCUGCCUGGCUAUGUAGUUUACAUUGCAUAAUUUUCCAGUGCUUUGUUAAUGAAACAAAUUCACAUUCAUCCUUUCUUAUUAUAGUUUAUCAUUUAAUUCUUUAUAGUCCUGUAGAAAAAUCAAUGUCAAUGUUACUUCAAAUUAACAAAUGAACAAACCAGUUGAAGGAUGUUCAGCAGUGUGAGAUCACAAUGCAAAGGCAAGACAGAGAGCUCUCUGAUCUUCUACCAACUUUAACAUUUUUUAACUACCAUUUACUGAAUGUGUUGACCAAAUCACACAUUCUUCCCUUAAAUAGCUUUGUGUGAACUGUCCAUCAGCACGAUUUUGAUCACACACCAGAGAGAGGUGAAUAAUGAUCAAGAAGAAGCAGGUAUAGAUAGCACUUCUUCAUCCUUUGAAAUUUCAGUGAAAACUACUGGGUCAUUUGCUCUUUCUGGAAUACUUGAUAGUUCUCAAUUUUUGACAGCAUUUUAAUUUCCUCUUGGUGAUUAUUCAUGAUGUAAGGAAUUGUUCAUUAUUUUCUAUAGUAUUGUUAAAUUUGAACAUUUUACAAUCAAUAAAUUAAUGGUUUUAGAAGUUAUUUUUGGUUGGAAAACCUUAGGGACUCCUUAUUAGAAAAUGCUUAUCCACUCUUACCAAAGAUUCAACAUUAAUUUCCCUUUUGUUUCUUCAAGGAUAGGCAAAAGUUUUCAGGAUCUGAGUUUCACACUAAUUGUGGAAAAUCUGGUUUGAACUUGAUCUAUGGCCAGUGUCUGGAGAUUAGGAUCAUUACAUAAAAAGAAACACUGGAAAUGGAGUGCUGCUGGAUAAAGAUCAAACCUGAGCUCUUAUCAACAUGAACAUGUCAAUCUGAAUACUUACCCGAAAGAAGAAGUGAACAAUGUGUGAAAACAAAUGAAACUACUCAUUGUUGCUAUUGUUUAUUAAAAAAUCUUAAUUUUGUCUAUUUUUGUGAGGGAGUUUUUAUCAAAUUAAGUUAAUAAAAACAGAAUUUCACAACAUAAAUUAUAUCAGAUAUUUAAAAACUGUUUUUCAAAUUAUUUCUCAAAAAUAAUAAUUGCAAGCCUCAGGUAAGUAUUGCUUUUGUUUAGAUAGCAUACAUAAAUAUUUUGUUAUGAACUUUAUAUUUUAUAAAAUUUUUCUCAAACAUAUAUAGUAGUAUUCUACCUUAAUAAUGCACAAAUGAAAGAAUUAAGGAAUUUAUAGUUCCAAAUUAAUAUUUUUUACUCAAGUGAAAGAUUAGUAAAUUUAAAAAUAAGAGAAAUAGAGACAAAUGUACUGUGAUAUAAAAUUUAAAAGAUGGUAACAUGAAGUGUAGUCUAAGAACAUGGUUUUAUACAGCUAAUUACAUUCUUGGUUGAUAGAAUAUAAAAUGAAAAUUUGAAAUGAAAACUUUUAUGCAUAUACUUUUUGCAAUUUAUAUAACUUUAAAAUACAGGGAAGGGCAUAGUAUUUUAAAUAAAUUGCAACUAACCAUUUAUAAAAAAAUAAAAUUUUCUGUGUUCAGUUUAAGUAACAUAUUCAUUUAAUCCAAAAAAUGUAAUUUAUUUAGUAGCAAAAAUAUUUAUUAUGAAAUGUUACAAUGAAUACAAGUUCCUAUUUUUACUUAUCACAUUAAUAAUACUUCCUUUUUACUCUCAACAUGUUUCUUAAUUUUAUCUCAUAUUCAGUUUUUCUAUAGAAUGUAUUCUUGUUUUGUUUAUAAUCUUAUAUAUCUUUGUAAUAAUUUCUCAAAUUUUAUGAUAAAAAUUACAAGAACAGCCAUUUAUUGUGCUCUUAUCCUAGGCAGAAUUACAGUAGAU